RNAcentral lists this long non-coding RNA (69143 nucleotides) under Olea europaea (common olive). RNAcentral's name for it is "long non-coding RNA (OEUR_LNC002543)". The record is from RNAcentral. Lineage: Eukaryota; Viridiplantae; Streptophyta; Magnoliopsida; Lamiales; Oleaceae.
UCUGCCUUGUUGAUGCAGGUGAACUGUUGGCUAGUGCACCCGUGCUGCCAAGCGACAACAAUGGUGUCUUUUCGUCCCUAACUGAUGUUUGAUGGUUAGAAUUCAAUUUUUUUCAGUUUGUAUUGAUGUAGUUCAAACUCUAAUAAUUAUCUUGAAGUGUUGUAACUCUUGGGAAGAUGUGUAAUAUAAUUUUAAUUCGUUUUUACUCUACCAUUUUCUACACUUUCUUGCAUCCAAAAUACCAACUUUAGUGCAUUCAUAUCUUCUUGAAUAUUGUUUGUAUUUAUCAUACUGCAGAUAUAAAGUGGAAAUUUUGAGUAGAUUUUCCACUGUUCGGGUUGUCUUCGUAAGAAAUCCCAAACAACACUAAAGGGCUUCAUUAUAUCCUAUAGACGUAUUUGCAUUCCGUGUGCAUCACAGAAUGGUGGAAACAAAUAACAUCUUAAGGAAAGAGAUAUUUGUUAUAUGCCUUGAAGCCGGUAUUGUUUUAAGUUCGAGUUUUUGCGAUAUUCCAACAUCUAGUUUCGUCUAAUCGUCAUCUCUAAACUGAUCUCACCAACACCUUUGAACCUCGUUUUCGUAAUCUACCUAUAUAAAUUCAACUAAUUCAAUCCGUCAAUUUGUUAAAAUCUGGAUGAUCGAAAACGUCUUACAGAUGUUUUAAAUUGACCAGCUUCCCUAGUUCUGCUGGAAUGGUCCCGUUAAACCUGUUACUCCCCAGGCCCCUGAAGGUUGAAUAGAUUUUUAAAAUUACAAUUAGAAUUCCGAGAAAAUAUAUCCACUAUCAAACAAAACAUUCAUGGUGUUUGCUUCUUUAUGUAGGAGUGACCAUAUGUAGAGAGAGAGAUCUAUGGGUCAAUUGAUAUAUGGACUUUGCUUGAUGUAUAUAAUUUUUGUACAUCAAGGUGUCCAUGCCUCUCACAUGGGGUGGGGUCCACACUUUUGUAGGCCCCACCCCAUGUGAGAGGCAUUGAUACCCUUAUGGACAAAAAUUAUGUAUACCCUUAUGGACAAAAAUUAUGUACAUCUAGAAUUUUCCUUGAUAUAUAGAUGGGGAGAUAGCUAGAUAAGAACUCACAAAUAUACGAGCGUGGUAAUGUUUCCCAGGAAUUUCGGUAUGGGUCCAGAUAGGCGGUUCACCAAAAGACACCUAUAUCACACAUACUUUUUCGAUAUAACAGAGGAUGUAGACAUUGCAUCAUUGCCAAAACUCAAUUAAAAGCUACAGGUAAAGCUCACAUGUACUCCAAUUUGGUUGCUCCCCAUUCCAUGGGUAUUGUACCAUUAAGGUAGUUGCCACUAAGAUCUCUGCAACCAACAGAUUCAGAGUGAGAUCAAUGUAGCCAAUAAAUUGUCUCAACCUUUUGAAGCAAAAAGCUGAGUAGAUUUAAUAAAUUGAAAAUAAACUUGGAACAUCUUGCUACAUUGUCUUGAGGUAGGGUAACUUUGCCAGUGAGGGCGGAAGGACACCUGCCAAAUCCUGUCCUUUUAGAAAUCUGUUUGUAAAGAAAAAGAGGCUAUCUUUAGCAUACUCUGAAUUGAAAAGUUUUCAUCUAAAUUUUACAAGUGCAACAAUUAAAGUUUCUUGACAGGUGAAAGAAACAAAGCCAAAAAAAAAAAAAAAAAAUCAUUCCGAAGGGAUUUUGAAAGAAACGAUACAAUAGAUUAAGCCCAUGUUUGGUGGGGAUUAUUUUUAGCAAAUUUUGAUAAAAGUUGAUGAAAUGUAUAGUUGAAAAGUUUUGGGUCUAUAAAAUAUGCAGCUAAAAUUAAUUGUUGAUUUUUAUUUAGAUUAAGAUCUAGAUUUUAGUCCUACCAAAUAGGGGCUAAAUGUAUAGUGUUUCAAGUAAAACAACUUGUUAGAGUGGCUUCUCGAGCACACUACAAACGUUAUACUAUUUCAUUUUCAACUCUAACUUAACAUCAAGAAUGUAACUUGAAACACUGACAUGGUGAAAUAAAGUUGCAUGCUUGACUGAAUGGAAAAAAAGAACUUCUUAUUUAUUUUUUAUUUUUUUAUGGUUAUAAUACUGACACAGCUUAUUCCUAUACAUAUUUUAAGUGCAAAUCCUGGUUAAAGAUGAUGAAGAUAGAGAGUCUAGCAAUAUAAAAUGAGUAAUGCUAUUUAGUACCAUUAGUGUUAUAAUACCAGUUUUGGUGGCACCAAUUGUCAUUAAAUGAGUCACUACCUUUUCAUUUAGCCCAUUGUAUUGUGACAUUUAAACUGGUCUUAGAUGACAUUAUUCAUAUGAAAUAAGUCAUAAAGGUCAAGUUUGAUUACUAGGCACCAUAAGUUCUAUUGAGGUUUAAGCAGGAAAAAAGUACAAUAAUUCCCACAUAAAAUACCAUUUUAAGAAUCAACAAACAGAUUUGCAACCAUUAUAUGGUAUUCCACGCCUCAAAAUCAGAUACUGAAAACCCCAUAUUUGGCUGCUUCAAGAUCAAUAGAAGCAGAAUAUAUUUUCUGUGAUUCUUGAUUCCUUGCAAUAUAAUAGCACAAAUGGCUAUUUCUAAAUCAGUUUCAAACUAAUGAUAAAGAUGAUAAGUUUUCAGCAAGAAAACCUACAUUGAUUUUACGUGGCACACACCACCAGGGAAAUUACAAUUGCAGAUGAUGGAAUUGGUGUACCAUUGUAUAUCUUCUCGUUUCGGUGUAUUCCAGUUUGAGUUAUUAUCACAAGGAUUCAGGUUGAAGUCCCAGUCCUUUUUGCCCAACUGAUCAGCUAUUUCACGAAGAGCAUUCUCUGCAAAAAUCAGAAUUCUAUUCUAAAAUAGAAAUGUGAUCGGAUUUCAUGUUGAUCAAAGUGAACUUUUAAGGAUAACCUGAAGUUUAAUGGAAGGCUAAAAAGUGUAGUACCUAAUGAGCUAAACACGUGAAUGGAAAGAAAGAAAUGGUUUACAUAAAAAAACGAUCCUUACUUUCCUCAUCAGGGAGAUAUCCACUCCGUGCAGAAAUAAUUGUUGCUUUGAAGAGAAGUAAUAUCGUCAAGGUGAACAUAAAGAUGAGAAUAGCUUUAGACAUCUUUGCGCCUCAGUUUAAUAUUCAUCAGGCCGAAACAAGUACAUGUAUAUAUAUGAGAGAGAGGAGAUUAGAACUUCGGUUAACGACUUUAGCAUUCGAUGAGAUGUUAAACAAGGUGGGACCUUCAAUGUCACGCCUGUGAUAACAUGGAACUAUGAUUGCAAUUAGUUCUUUAUUUUUUUUAAUUUAAAUAGAAGGGUAUAUUAGUCAUUUUAUAACUUUUUAUUGAGAAAAAUGAUGAAAAGAAUGUUUUCCACAGGAAAAGGUAAAGGUAGGGAUGAAAUGCGCCAAAAAGGGAAAUGUAGGGACGUUUUCCACAAAAAUCAUGAAAGGUAUGGACAUUUUGUGCUAAAUACCCUUUAUUUUACUUUCUUUCAUGAGAAGGCAUUUAAGACAGGACAUCAUAAAUAUUUUGUAUUUCCUCCCUAGCAAAAGAUAAACAUAAGUGCAUUAACUUUCUAGGUAGAUUGAAAGGACAACAAUGUAAAGUUAGGAAAUAGACAAUCAACAUAGGCCUCCUGAUCUGAUCACUAUCACAUCCAGCUCACAGUACAAUUGACUUCUCCUCAUUCCAUUUCAUUAGCAUUAAUCUCUUGUUCAAUACUUGUUCAUCUUUUGAACGAGUGAAUCUAAAAAUACCAGUAGAAAAAUUGUGAAAAAGAUAACUGCAUCAGCGUGGGGCUCAUUAGUAGAAUUUUGUAUCAGACUGUGCAAAGACUAGCUAGGUUGGUCAAUCACUAAGAAUUUUUCAUAAAUGCAUGUUCAAAUAUUACAAAGCUAUACUAUUAUGAAUCAAUUAAUGAUUCUUGAAUAAAUAUUUCUUUUCAAAUUGUAGAGAUAUUCACAAUAUUAAACACUAUUUUCCUAGAUUUCAUUGCGUUAUUGGAGUUUUGAUCAAAACAUUGACCAACUAGAUAAUACUUUGCAUGUCCAUUGACUCAACUUGAAGUGUUCUCAUAGCAAGCUCUCUCUCAAAGUCGCCCAUAAAAUCCAUGCUUUCUUAAAUUAUAUUUAUCGGCGCUAAUAUUUUUUUUGCAAGCGAUUGUGGCACAACACAUUGGAAAAAAUAGAGAUAUACAAAACUACUUCAACCAAUUAUCUUUGAUCAUCUAGUUGUUUUGCCUCUUAUUAGAUGUAAUAAAAUAAAUAGACCUGAGUGGUUCGUGGUCUCAGAAUGGAAGUUAUUAUUAUUGUUUUUACUUUAAAAUAGCAAUGAAGGUGUUUUAAGGCCAUUAUGUCUGCAUCUUCGUAAUCAAAUUGGUCUUGUGGGUAGUCCGUAUUCGUAUUAAAUCUAUUCUCAUUUUCAGGUGUUUCCAUUUUUUGCCAAUUUCUUGGGUAAAAUCUCCCACCUAUCUUAAAGAUAAAGAAAGCUUUCUUGGACACUUCUUACACUAAAAAUGAAGGACGAUCCAAUUUAUUAACUAUGAAGCACUAAUAUUUCUUCAAAGCAUAAAACAACUAAAAAAUUAGUAAAUAAUUAGUAAAAAUGAAUGAAAACCCGCUUCACGCUACUUGUUUUGAAUAAUCUCUGGUACAUAACUGAUAAAUUUACUAAAGAAGAAGUAUUUCAUCAAAUUUCAUCAUCUACUAACUUUAUCCUUAUUGAAUAUCUAACCAUAUAAUUGUUGUUCUUGUUAAUGUAUUCAAAAUGUGUUGGGUAAUUGCCUCAAAAGUCAAAAGUUGGAGGACUUCUAUUGCAAAUAAUAAAAGGUAAUAAUUGUAUGGAAGACUUAUAAUUAAAGUUGAGAACAGAAUCCUCGAAGAAUUUGGUUUCCAAUUUUACAACCGAUUUUGGAGUCUUGCACAUAAAGGAGUCCUUGUUUGAGUUGAAAUUAAACUCUUCUACUUAAUUAUCGAUCCUACAAAUAGUAGAUGUAUUUAUUAUUUUGGAGGUGUGGCCUGAGAGUUAAUCCGAGAGAUAAAUAUUGUGAGCCUAGCAUCUUGAGAGUUUUAUAUAAAGAGUAGAAAAGUGGGUAUGGCAAAGCUCAAGAUUAUUGUUCUUUGUAAUACUUGAGAAUUGGGUUGAUGAGUGAAAUUUUAUAUGGUUAUAACAAUUUUCAUAUAGUGAAAGGCUUUGACGGUCCAUUUAAUUUGUGCGUUAUAUUCUUCUUCUUCUUCUUCUUCUUUUGGCUAAUAUUUUCUUGAACAACAAUAGAUUCUGAGGGUAAAUAGAAACAAAGGAAAUUAGCGUAAAAUUCCUAACAAAAUGAAAUUUCCAUUUCCAUCAACAUCUCACCAUGUCAAUAGCAUGGUUGGCUAGUGAUACAAAUAGAUUAGUUAAUGACAGAUCCAAUCAAUUAAAUGGAUUUUGACAUUUUACCUAGGUAUUUAUUGUGGCGCAGAAAAAAAAAUUUCAUGUCAAUUUUAUCAAUGUUAUGCCCGCAAUAACAUGACCCGAACAUUUAUUUUACUUUCUUUCAUCAAAAGGCAUUUAAUACGGGACAUCAUAAAUAUUUUCUAUUUCCUCCCUGGCAAAAGAAAAACGUAAGUGCAUUAACUUUCUAGGUAGAUUGAGAAGCACCUUAACGGAAACUUGGGAAUUAGACAUUCAACAUUGGCCUCCUAAUCUGAAUAUUCAAAUAAAUAGCUUUUUCAUUAUCAUGUCUAUUCACCUCACGGUACAAUUGACUCCUCCUUAUUCCAUUUCAUCAACAUUAAUCUCUUGUUUUAUGCUUGUUCGUCUUCUUCUUCUAAAUGAGUGAACCUAAAAAAUAUCAGUAGAUAAAUUAUCAUUAUCAGAUAAAGAGAGCUGCAUGAGCAUGGGGCUAACUUGUACAAUUUUCUAUCAGACUGUCUGUAGUAACCUGAAAAUGAAAUCAGAGGAUUAGUAGAGACUUAGCAAAGAUUUGCUAGGUUAGUCCAUCACUAAGUCUUUUUCAUCUGCAUUUACAUUAAGAUAACAGAGAAAUUUAUAAAUGCAUGUUCAUAUAUUACAAAGCUAGACUAUUAUGAAUCAAUUGUUGAUUCUUGAAUAAAUAUUUCUUUUAAAAUUGUAGAGAUAUUUACAGUAUUAAACACCAUUUUCCUAGAUUUCGUUGCCUUAUUAGAGUUUUGAUCAAAACAUUGACAAACUAGAUAAUACUGUGCAUGUCCAUUGACUCAAUUUGAAGUAUUCUGAUUGCAAGCUCUCUCUCUAAGUCAGCCAUAAAAUCCGUACUUUCUUAAAUUAUAUCUAUCGGCACUAAUAUUUUUUUGCAAGUGAUCACGGCACAUCACAUUGUAAAAAAUAGAGAUAUACCAAAACUUCAACAGCCAACUAUCUUUGAUCAUCUAGUUGUUUUGCCUCUUAUAUUAGAUGUAAUAAAAUAAAUAGACCAGAGUGAUUCGUGGUCUCAGAAUGGAAGUUGUUACUACUACUACUUUAAAAUAGCACAGAAGGUAUUUUAUGGCCACUAUCUUUGCAUCCUCAUAAUCAAAUUGGUCUUGUGGAUAGUCCGUAUUGGUAUCAAAUCUAUUCCCAUGUUCUAGUGUUUCCAUUUUUUGCCAAUUUCUUUGGUAAAAUCUCCCAACUAUUUUUAAGAUAAAGAAAGCUUUCUUGGAUGCUUCUUGCACUAAAAAUGAAGGACGGUCCAAUAUAUUAACUACGAAGCACUAAUAUUUCUUCAAAGCAUAAAACAACUAAUGAUUAAUAAAAAUGAAUGAAAACCCACUUCGGGCUUCUUGUUUUCAAUAAUAUCUAGUACAUAACUGAAAAAUCUAUUAAAGAAGAAGUAUUUCGUCAAAUUUCUUCCUCGACUAACUUUAUCCUUAUUGAAUAUCUACCUAUAUAAUUGUUGUGCUUGUUAAUGUAUUCAAAAUGAAAUUUUCAUUUCCAUCAACAUUUCACCACAUCAAUAGCAUGGUUUGCUAGUGAUACAAAUAGAUUAGUAAACGACAGAUCGAGUCAAUUAAAUGGAUAUCGACAUUUUACCUAGGUAUUUAUUGUGGUGUAGCAAAAAAUUUUCAUGCCAAUUUUAUCAAUGUUAUGCCUACGAUAACAUGACCCGAACAUUUAUUUUACUUUCUUUCGUUAAAAGGCAUUUAAUACAAGACAUCAUAAAUAUUUUCUAUUUCCUCCCUGGCAAAAGAUAAACGUAAGUGCAUUAACUUUCUAGGUAGAUUGAGAAGGACCUUAAUGGAAUCUUGGGAAAUAGACCUUUAACAUUGACCUCCUAAUCUGAAUAUUCAAAUAAAUAGCUUUUUUCAUUAUCGUGUCUAUUCACCUCACGGUACAAUUGACUCCUCCUUAUUCCAUUUCAUCAGCAUUAAUCUCUUGUUUUAUGCUUGUUCGUCUUCUUGUGAACGAGUGAACCUAAAAAAUAUCAGUAGAUAAAUUAUCAUUAUCAGAUAAAGAUAACUCCAUAAGCAUGGGGCUAACCAGUAGAAUUUUCUAUUAAACUGUCUGUAGUAGACUGUCUGUAUUACCCUGAAAAUGAAAUCAGAGACUUCGCAAAGACUUGCAAGGUUAAAGCAUCACUAAGACUUUUUCAUCUGUAUUCACAUUCAGAUAAAUAGAGAAUUUCAUAAAUGCAUGUUCAAAUAUUACAAAGCUAGACUAUUAUGAAUCAAUUAUUGAUUCUUGAAUAAAUAUUUCUUUUCAAAUUGUAGAGAUAAUCACAAUAUUGAACACUAUUUUCCUAGAUUUCGUUGCCUUAUUGGAGUUUUGAUCAAAAUAUUCACCAACUAGAUAAUAUUGUGCAUGUCUAUUGACUCAAUUUGAUGUGUUUUGAUUGCAAGCUCUCUCUCAGUUGCCCAUAAAAUCCAUACUUUCUUAAAUUAUAUUUAUCGGGGCUAAUAUUAUUUUGCAAGUGAUUGUGGCACAACAAGUUGGAAAAAGUAGAGAUAUACCAAAACUACUCUAGCCAAUUAUCUUUGAUCAUCUAGUUGUUUCGCCUCUUACAUUAUAUGUAAUAAAAUAAAUAGACCAGAGUGGUUUGUGGUCUCAGAAUGAAACUUUUUUUUUUUUUUUUUUUACUUUAAAAUAAAUAGCACCGAAAGCAUUUUAUGGCCACUAUGUUUGCAUCCUCAUAAUCAAAGUGGUCUCAUGGGUAGUCCGUAUUGGUAUUAAAUCUAUUCCCAUGUUCUGGUGUUUCCAGUUUUUGCCAAUUUCUGGUAAAAUCUCCCACCUAUCUUAAAGAUAAAGAAAGUUUUCUUGGAUGCUUCUUGCACUAAAAAUGGACGGUCCAAUUUAUUAAACUAUGAAGCACUAAUAUUUCUUCAAAGCAUAAAACAAGUAAAAAAUUAGUAAAAAUGAAUGAAAACCUGCUUCGGGCUUCUUGUUUUCAGUAAUCUCUGGCACAUAACUGAUAAAUCUACUAAAGUAGCAUAUCAUCAAAUUUCUUCCUCUGCUAACUUUAUCCUUAUUGAAUAUCUAAUUAUAUUAUUGUUGUACUUGUUAAUGUAAUCAAAAUAAAAUUUCCACAGUCAACAUCUCACUACGUCAAUGGCAUGGUUUGCUAGUGAUACAAAUAAAUUUUCAUGUCAAUUUUAACAAUUUAUAGGCCUCAAAUCCCUAUUAGAAUUUUUUUCAGUUGUGCUAGCGCAUCUUGAGUUUAAACCUAUUAGGUUCCCAAACACCUGAGGUCAAGUUCCUCUCCUCUGCAAGAUAUUUAUAGACAAAAUGAAGUAUUCUAUUUAAUAUUUUAUUUUACUUUUAACAAGAAAGAACAGUAAAACUGUUUUAGAACGUGCGCAUAAGCUGUAAUUAGGACUCAUAAAGAUUUGUUAAGUAAGCCCGACUUCAAGAGGUAUUUUAAAUUCAACCUUAGUAAUUUGAUGCUCUACAUCAAUGUCUGAAUGAAGUUUGCAUUUGCAUGUGUUUGAUAUUGUUUAAAAGUUACUUUUCUAGUCAGCAAGUUUUUUAGCAAAAUAGAAAAUCACUUUUGACAAUAUAAGUAACGCAACAACAAAUUUAAUAAAAUCCAAGUAAUGUUAUAAAUGACACAAGUUGGCAGUACACAGGAAUCGGGGAAGGGUAUAGCCACCUUGACAGAAAAAUGUUUCGGCAAAAUAUGAUUGGAUGAAAGAGUUAACAAUGUUUCAGAAAGUCUAAUAAUAUGAUGUCAUGUAACCAUAUGUCAAGAAUUAUGUCAACCAUUAUGUUACUGUAGCAUGAUUCAUAGGAAAAUGGAUCAAAAGAGUCCUUUCUCGCUAGCAAUUGUCGUAUCUUUAUAGUUGACCGCAACAUAUUACUUUGCAUUUCUCAAUGUACGUGCCCUUGAAUAAAUGGACGGAAAGUACUAAGAAAGAGAAAUAAAUUCUAAUUCAUAAUUCAUUGAAGGUUGUCUGAGAAGGAAUCUCGAGCAGAUGUAGAGGAUAAGCCAGUUUCUGGUGCAUCAGACAAAUGAAUGAGGAUUGAGUUUUACUUGAAUUAAGUUUCAAGUAUUAGAACUUCUCUCUGACUGAUUGAAGAUUCACUAACGAAUUGAGCUGACUCCCUUCGCACCAUUAACUAGUUGAGUUGGCUACGGAUGAACUACAGGAGCUCGUCGAUCAAUCACAUGAGUCGGGUGGCGAGGCUAGACGAUUUGAAUUUCCUUCUUAAAAGGUCAACUUUAUUAUAAGGAAUAAUCCAAACCCUUAUAAGUUGGUUUAUAUAUCUUUAUUCGAUGUGUGACUUUAUCGCUUAACAUGCCGAGUAAGAUGGUCGAACCAAUCUUGAAAUCCAUGUACUCAUUUUUUUUAGCCUUAAUAGGAUUGAAUCGCUCAUUUGAGCUUAAUAGACUCUAAUAUCAUGUAAAGAUUUGGGAUUCCAUCUUAAAAUGUCACCAUUGUUAAGGAGAGUAGUUCAAAUCCUUAUAAGUUGGACUAUAUUUUUAUCUUUAUUUUAUGUGAAAUUUUAUCCCUUGACAUCUAGGCCUGCAAAAUAGCAAAUUGCUUAGUAAUUGAUAUCGACAUCUUACCUGUGUUUAUGGGCAUUGAGUUGGAAAGUUUUGAACUUUAGCUUGAGAAUAGACUACUCAAUUGAAGUGUUGUAAUCAGUAUUAAUAUUCCGUCGACUUUGAAUACAAUUUACAAUUUAUAACAUUCACAGAAGGUAAUAAGUAACCUUUUUAUAAUUUUACGUAAAGAAGAAAAUUUUGUUGAUAAAAUAAAUUUAUUUCCUCCAAAUCUCCAUUACCAGUUUGAACAAUUUCUUUUAUCUAUAUAUAUACACACGCGUGCGCAUGCAUGCAUGUGUCCAAGGGUGUACUGAAUGUAAUUAUGGUUGAUAAUUGUUGGGCUAUAAUGCCAUCACAUCCGUAAGUGGGGCGAUGAUAGUAUCAUGGGCUUGGCCCAUUUUCGGUAUUUGAUCCAUUACACGGUAUUUCAAACGUGGAGGCCCAAUACCCAUACCCAAUAUAUGGAAAAUCGCAUAUUGGAAGAGCAAUUUUAGUUGCCAAUUAAUGCUGAAGUCACUAAUUGCCCUCGACUGUUGAUCAUCAUCCAAAAUCAAUGGUGAUGGUGUAAAGUAUAAAUGGGAUCUUACUUUGUUACCCUAGUUCACUUGUACUCUGAUAUUUGUUGGUGUUUUCUGGAAUUCUCACUAAGUUUGGUUUGUUUCUUUUGUCUUCUUUCGAUCAUCUUUAACCUCUAGUUGGAUAGUUUCUCGUGGUUUUCUGAGUGAAAUUUGAGUUUCUAUGGUUGAUGGUGAGAGAAAGGUGCAGUUUCAAGUUCAAUACCUUCUGGUCCAUAAAAGAAGUGUCUUCUGAUCCACUAAGGGUUUAGGUUUGAGGUUUCUGGUUUGUAAACAAGGGUAUUCGAGAUGCCUUAGGUUGUGUCUUGAGUUGUAAUCUUUGAUAUAAACAUUUGUAUAGUUUGAUUCGAUUUUUGUUCUAAUAGUAACUUGAUCGAUUGGUAAGUUGAUUGAAUAGUAUUAGAUAAUCCCUCCUUAUCUUAAAAGAGAGAAUAUAAAGUUUACGAUUCAUUUUUGUCACAUAGAUUUUCACAUGAAACUGGUUUGAAACUCAUUUGACAGCAAUAAAUUAUUCCAUUCAAUCACACUUUAGCAUUUUUUUUCACAUGCUAUUUCACUGCAAUUAUUAAAAAAAAAAAAAAAAGGAAUUGCAGGCAAACAUAGAAAAAAAUUAUUAUAAAAUUUUUAAAUUAAAUUGAAAUAAUUAAAAUUAAAAAUAAAAAUUAUCUAAUUUAAAUUUAACAAAUCACGUUCUAUCAUAAAGAAUGUAUAAAUAUUAUUAUCAAUGAAAUAAAUAUGGCUUUAUUUCAGCAGUUCAAUUCUUACUAUAAAUAUGGCUUGUAUCUGAUCAAUGAAAUUAAUCAAUAAAAUAUGAAUUUCUUCUUCUAGUUACUUUCUCUCUCUUUUUCUUGGUUGAUUCUCUCCGGUUAAUCUUGCAAUUUAACAUUAAUGGCCCUCCUAAAUUCCCGGAAGUCUCCUCUGUGUUGGAGCUGGACGUCGUUUGAGUUUCUGGCUACCUCCGGUACUGGUAGCUCCGGCGGCUGCAUGAGGUCGCUUCAGCUGUAUUGCUCAGUUCUAAUGAUCAUGUGAUUGCCGUUUAUUAACAAAUUCUUGAAUUUUACUUUUUCUGAAUAGGGAAGGAAUGCUAUGAUUUUUCAAUUCACAGACAAUCAAAUGAAUGUGAUAUUAUAUGGUCUUCUGGGUUCGUGGGGAUAAGGAUCUUUUUAAUCAUUAAGUUUAUUUACGUGUUCAAGAAUGGUGUCUUUUUUUUCUUGGCAAAUCUUUCGUGGAAAUUGUUCUUCUUUCAGUCUUCAGUUGAUUUCGACUAUCUGAUCGUUGGCUUGUCUAAUCUAAAAGUCAUCCAAAGGCUGUCGCAGCAAUUUUUAGGGAAUUUACGAAGUGGUUCUGGAGACGAGAAAUGCCGGCGGAGUAGUAGAAAAGAGUUCAAGACGUAGUAUUGGAUAUAAUUUGAUAAUGCAAGAAGCUGCACCACUGCAAUCAAGUAAUUAUCUAGGAAUCAGAUGGAGAUCUCCUCGAAAAAUUAAAGAAAUUACAGUUGUUGGCAGUGGUCAAUUUGAUUAUUUUCUCCAAUGAACACUUGGAAGGGCCACUUACGCCAACUAAAAUUCCUACCCUAAUUAUAGGCUUCUGGGUUGUUGGGGACAAGGAUCUUUCUCAAUCAUUACUUUCCAGGAUGGUGUCCUAUGUUGUGGCAAAUCUUUCUGUGGAAAUUGUUUUUCUUCACUCUUGACUUGCUGCCAAUGGAGGAAAGUGGACUGUGCUAGGGGUAAAUCUGAUACGUGUUGGCUUUACCCGGUACAUUAUAACAUAUUCUGUUCAACUUGUUAAUCUCUUAAUAUUAUGCUUCGACUAAUUUUCCAUAUUGAUUUCAUAUUAGCUGCUGGCAAUGAUUGGAGAACAAUUUGAUCAUGGAGAUGAAAUCUGUGGAGCAGUGUUCAAUGUCGGAGGGAGGCAGGAAAAAAUUGCUUUAUGGACCAAGAAUGCUGCAAUGAAGCUGCUCAGGAAAUUUGUUUGAACAAAUAACUGAAGCUGUUCUUACUAGAUUUUGUGACAUGUAGUAGACCAUUUUCCUUUCCUUAAUUCUUAUGCGAGACUUGUUUCUCUGGGCAUUUUAUGGUUUGUUUUCGUGAUAUUAAUAAUGAAACUAUGCAUGUGACACUGGAUUUGAUGAAGAGUAGAGGGCGGUGACCACUCUCCUAAACUUUUAACAAUCUUUCUGAGUUUUUCUAUAUAUAUAGCUGUCAAAAAUGAUUUUUCGCUAUCACAAUUUAAGAACAUGCUGCUUUAUGCUAAUAAUUUCUUUAAAUUGUAAUACACGUGCUUAUGAGGAAGCAACGCACUGUGUAAUCAUUGAAGGGAUCCCCGUUUUAGAAAGGUUGCUGAAUUGAGCAUGUUUGUUGCAUAGUAUUAUGUGGAAUUGGGCACUAUAGUGAACAAUAUUUAGCUUAUUUACGUUCUCUAAAUUGUUUAGUACUAUCUAUUUGGAGCCUACAUUUUAGCCUUCACAAUUUCUUUCAUGUGUGUCAGACACAUUUUUCAAAAGUUGCAGCAAAUGUUGAAAAAAAAGGAAUGUGCAUGGAAACUCUUGCUAACAACAGCCGUAUUUUUGGAAGAAAUUUUUGCCAUGCAUUUAAUGCAAGGCAACUUUGUUGAAAAAUUGAUGGACAUGCAUUUAAUGAGGAAGGUGAGAAUUUUACUAUGAAUACGAGGCCAAAGCAGGAGCAAAAGAUAUGAGUGAAAAGAGAAGUGCAAGAAAAGUGUUGAGUGAGCAAAGCACAAAAGUGAGAAGCAGUUAGGCUUCAGUUUGUGCAGAAAUUAACGAGAGAAAAAUUUAUUGUGCAGAAAAUUAACGAGAGAAAAAUUGAGAGAUUGUCUUUACAUAGACAAAUAAAAUACAGAAAGUAUAUUUGUUGUAUUCAUUUUCUUCUCUUGUUGAUAUAGUAAAAGAAUUGGUGUGGGUUUGUGGACGUAGGCACGAUUGCUGAACCACGUAAAUUCUUGUGUCACUUGCACUUAUUAUUUUUUGCUACAUUUAUUUCUUCUCAGUUCAAAUUAUUUUGUGUCCCAUUGAUCCUGGCGGAAUUAGUAACGGUCUAAUUUCCUAACAACUGGUAUCAGAGCUCCAGAAUUUAAGUGGGAGGAAUGACAACAGACGAGAAGAUAUCCAAAAUCGAUAAGUUUGAUAGCACAAACUUUGGAUUUUGGAAGAUGCAAAUGGAGGACUAUUUGUACCAGAAGGACCUGUAUAAACCACUUCACGUAAAGCCGGAGGACAUGAUCGACGAGGAGUGGGAAUUACUUGAUCGAAAGGCCCUCGGCGCAAUAAGGCUGCCAUUAUCAAAAUCAGUCGCUUUCAACAUAAAAAAUGAGAAGACGACGGCAUCUCUCAUGGCGGCCCUGUCUAGCAUGUAUGAACAACCAUCUGCAGCAAACAAAGUCCAUUUAAUCAAAAAGCUAUUUACUAUGAAAAUGGCGGAAGGCGAAAGAUCUGGAGAACAUUUAAAUGUGUUCAAUGAAGUGACGGACCAGUUAAACACAGUCGAAAUCACAUUCAGUGAUGAGGUUCGAGCUUUAUUGAUUCUCGGGCAGCUGCUUGAGAGUUGGAAUGGCACAGUUACAGCAAUUAGUAGCUCUGUCGGAAAUUCCAAAUUGAAAUUUGAAGAUGUCGUGAGCAUAAUCCUAAUCAAGGAAAUACGAAGACAGUCGGAAGGUGUUUUCACUUCUGGAGCAGCUUUGAACGUGGAGAGCAGAGGCAGAAGUUCGAACAGAGGUAAAGGGCAUUACAGGAGCAAGUCAAGGUUUGGUAGAUCAAAAUCCAGAAAUCCAAAGAAUUCCAACAAAUCAAAAGUUGUUGAAUGUUGGAAUUGUGGCAAGAUCGGACACUACAAAAAUCAGUGUCAAGUUUCCAAGAAAGAAAAUGAAAACAAGACCGAGGCCAAUGUUGUAGCAGAAGAAUCAGAUGAUGCUUUGAUAUGCUCUUUGGACAGCAAAGCAGAAUACUGGGUAAUAAAUUCUGGAGCAUCUUUUCACGCUACAUCAAACAAAGAACUCUUUACGAGUUAUGAGCUGGGUAAUCUUGGAAAAGUGUAUCUUGGUGAUGAUCAACCUUGUGACGUAAUCGGCAGAGGUGAAGUACAAAUCAAACUUAAUGGAUCUGUAUGGAAAUUGAAGGAUGUCAGACAUAUUCCAGACUUGAGGAAGAACUUGAUAUCUGUGGGCCAACUAUCAAAUGAGGGUUAUGUCACAACCUUCAACGGUGAUAUUUGGAAGGUUUCCAGGGGUGCAAUGACCAUAGCACGAGGCAAGAAAAGUGGUACUCUUUACACCACGACGAGUGCUUGCAGAAUAAUUGCAGUUGCUGAUUCGAAUGAAGAUCCGAAUCUAUGGCACCAGAGAUUGGGCCAUAUGAGUCAGAAUGGACUCAAGUACAUGCAUGACAAAGGGAAACUACCAGGACUUCAAUCUAUUAAUGCAGACCUAUGUGAGAGUUGCAUUUUCGGGAAGCAGAGGCGAGUGAGUUUCAACAAGUGUGGCAGAACUUCGAAGUAGGAAAAGCUAAAGUUAGUCCGCAUAGAUGUCUGGGGACCAGUUGUAGUUCCGUCUAUUGGCGGAAAGUCUUAUUUUGUGACUUUCAUCGAUGAUCACUCCUGAAAAGUAUGGGUCUACUUCUUGAGACACAAAUCCGAAGUGUUCGAGAUGUUCAAGAAGUGGAAAGCUAUGGUGGAGAAUGAAACAAGUUUGCCAGUAAAGAAAUUGAGAUCAGAUAAUGGCAGUGAAUACGAACAUACUGAUUUCAAAAUGUUUUGUUACCAGAAUGGUAUCAAACUGGAAAGGACGUUGCUAGGAACACCGCAACAAAAUGGUGUGGCCAAACGAAUGAACCGGACGUUGACAGAGAGAGCCAGAAGCAUGCGGUUACAUACUGGCUUGCCUAAACAAUUUUGGGUUGAAGCUAUCAACACAGCAGCAUACUUAAUCAAUCGCGGGCCAUCAGUGCCUUUGGAGUAUAGGAUACCAGAGGAAGUAUGGAGCGGAAAAGAAAUAAAACUUUCUCAUUUGAAAGUUUUUGGUUGUGUCGCAUAUGUACAUAUUAGUGAUCAAACUAGGGGUAAGCUUGACCCCAAAUCACUAAAGUGUACCUUCAUUGGAUAUCGUGGAGAUGAGUUCGGGUAUCGCUUUUAGGAUGAUAAGAACAAAAAGGUCAUCAGAAGUCGGGAUGUCAUAUUCAAUGAAAGGGUGAUGUACAAGGACAGAGAUACAGCGUAGUCAAGUGACAUACAUGAUAAUCCAACAUAUGUUGAGUUGGAUGAUACUCCAAGUAGUAGUAUGUCAAAGCAGACAGAUGGAAGUCUUCAGCCAGAGGAAGCUGUUGCGGAGACUUUAACUCCAACCCCUAUUCCUAGAAGAUCUUCCCGACCACAUGUUCCAAAUAGAAAGUACAUAAAUUAUUUGUUACUUACUGAUGCCGGUGAACCUAAAUGCUAUGAUGAGGCAUGUCGGGGAGAUGAUGCAAUUAAGUGGGAGCUUGCAAUGAAAGAUGAGAUAACGUCUCUUAUCUCUAAUCAAACAUGGGAGCUAGUUGAGUUGCCUGCAGAAAAGAAAGCCAUACAAAAUAAAUGGGUCUAUCGAGUUAAGGAGGAACAUGACGGAUCAAAGCGAUACAAGGCGAGAUUGGUGGUCAAAGGUUUUCAACAGAAAGAAGGAAUUGACUACACAGAGAUUUAUUCUCCAGUAGUAAAGCUGAUAACAAUUCGAUUAGUAUUAAGUAUUGUUGCAGCAGAGGGGUUGCACUUAGAGCAGUUAGAUGUGAAAACUGCCUUUCUCCAUGGUGACUUAGAGGAGGAGAUAUAAAUGCAGCAACCAGAGGGUUUCUCAAUCAAAGAAAAAAAGAAGCUCGUGUGCAAAUUGAAGAAAAGUUUGUAUGGCUUAAAACAAGCUCCGAUACAGUGGUACAAGAAGUUUGACGGAUUUAUGCAGAAAAAUGGCUACUACAAGUGCAAUGCUGACCGUUGUUGCUAUUUUAAAAGGUUGGAGUCCAGCUACAUUAUUUUGCUACUUUAUGUUGAUGACAUGUUAAUAGCGGGACCAGACAUGAACGAAAUCCAAAAAUUAAAGAAGCAACUGUCAGCAGAAUUCGAAAUGAAGGACUUGGGUCCAGCUAAACAAAUUCUAGGGAUGAGAAUUUGUAGGGACAAGCAAAAAAGCACUUUGAAGUUAUCCCAAGCCAAGUACAUUAGUCAAGUUUUGCAGAGGUUCAACAUGAACAAUGCAAAGGCAGUUAGCACGCCAUUGGCUAAUCACUUCCGUCUAUCAAACGACCAAUCUCCGAAAACAGAAGACAAAGAAACUUCAUGGCUAAUAUUCCAUACGCCUCAAUCAUUGGAAGUUUAAUGUAUGCCAUGGUCUGUACAAGACCAGAUAUUGCUCAUGCAGUGGGAGUUGUGAGCAGAUUCAUGACGAAUCCAGGAAAACAGCAUUGGGAAGCAGUGAAGUGGAUAUUGAGAUAUCUACAGGGUACUAUUGAUAAAUGUUUGUGUUUUAAAAGAGGUGAGUUGGCACUACAAGGUUUUGUAGAUGCAGAUUUUGCUGGCGAGGUCGAUCACAGGAAAAGCACCACCGGUUAUGUAUUCACAGUUGGUACUACUGCAGUGAGUUGGGUUUCGCAAAAACAAAAAAUUUUUGCUUUAUCCACUACAUAAGCAGAGUACGUGGCAGUAACCGAAGCUAGCAAAGAAAUGAUUUGGUUACAAGGUCUGUUGACAGAAUUUGGUCUCAAGCAAGAAAAGAAUGUUUUGUACAGUGACAGUCAGAGUGCUAUACAUCUGGCAAAGAAUGUAGCAUUUCAUAUCACUUCAUCAGAUUUCUCUUAGAGGAUGGAGUAUUAACACUGGAAAAGAUCCAGGGCAGUAGAAACCCAGCUGACAUGUUAACCAAGACGGUAACUACGGAAAAACUGGAGUUGUGUUCAGCUUCAGUUGGCCUUCUAAAAUGAAGACGAGGAAGGUGAUCCACACCAAUUUUACUAAAAAGGAACUGCUCGCAGGAUGUCUCAAGGUGAAGCCACAUUAGUCUCCAAGUGGGAGAUUGUUGAAAUUUUGGAGCCUACAUUUUAGGCUUCACAAUUUCUUUCAUGUGUGUCAGACACAUUUUUCAAAAGUUGUAGCAAAUGUUGAAAAAAAAGGAAUGUGCAUGGAAACUCUUGCUAACAACAGCCGUAUUUUUGGAAGAAAUUUUUGCCAUGCAUUUAAUGCAAGGCAACUUUGUUGAAAAAUUGAUGGACAUGCAUUUAAUGAGGAAGGUGAGAAUUUUACUAUAAAUACGAGGUCAAAGCAGAAGCAAAAGAUAUGAGUGAAAAGAGAAGUGCAAGAAAAGUGUUGAGUGAAAACACGAGAGUGAGCAAAGCACAAAAGUGAGAAGCAGUUAGGCUUCAGUUUGUGCAGAAAAUUAACGAGAGAAAAAUUGAGAGAUUGUCUUUGUAUAGGCAAAUAAAAUACAGAGAGUAUAUUUGUUAUAUCCAUUUUCUUCUCUUGUUGAUAUAGUAAAAGAAUUGGUGUGGGUUUGUGGACGUAGGCACGAUUGCCGAACCACAUAAAUUCUUGUGUCAUUUGCACUUAUUAUUUUUUGCUACAUUUAUUUCUUCUCAGUUCAAAUUAUUUUGUGUCCCACUGAUCCUGGCGGAAUUAGUAACGGUCUAAUUUCCUAACAGCCUAAAUGUUCUUGCACUAGAAAAACAUCUCAGUUCUUUGUGACGAUCUCUUGAACUUUAUUGACUUUCUUGCGAAGAAAAAUUCUGGAAGGCAUUCGUUAUUAAAAACCAAUGCCUACCAGUGUGAAACGGUUGUUCUGAUUUUGACUGCAUCCUUCGGCCUUUGACAUUGGCGGCUGAGUAGUGACUACUGACUAAUCUACCAGAGCAUGAAUCUGAAUGGAUUACCGACUAAAACAAGUAUUUAAGGAAUUGAUUUUACUCUUGCUUUUUUGGGUAUCUCCGCAAACUUUGCUUUCUUAUGCCUCUAUCUCUACUUCCUGUCUUAGGAGGCUUUUUUACGAUUUUUUAUUUUUAUUUUUUGCAGCUGAUCAUUGAAAGACAAUGGAAGGAGUUUCUAGAUUAUAAUGACACAAUUGGGGUUCAUAUUUCAUGUAAGGAUUCCCCUUUUUUCACAUGGCCUGAUUUUUUUGCUUUGUUUGAUGAAUCUAUAAAUCAUUUAUAAAGCGGUUGAACUUCAUCUUCAACCACAUUCCAAUGGUCCACAAGUAUCCAUUUAUUCACCACUCAUUCCUAUCUAUUUAUAAAUUAAACUGUUUAUAAAUUCUUUCCAAACGGAGGAAUAGAUUACAAGCUGAUGAAGCGCAUUUGAAGUGUUGUGAAAAUUGCAUGGGUUACCCCUUCCCUUCCUAAGUCCUAACCCAACCCAACCCAGCCCGUCAAUCCCUCACUCCGCAUCUUCCUCCACCAUCCCCAGCCUGUCCUCCCAUCUUUCUCUACUGUCAAUAAAAUUUCUCUGUGUGCACGUAUGAGGAGGAAAGGGAAAAGGGGAAAAAAUAGUCAUUUCUUGGACAUUCCUUUUAAUUAUCACCAGUUUACUUAUAGAGAGCUGAAAUACAUGGUGCUUGUGAACUGGUAUGUUAAGUGUGAGUACAGUUUAAGUGAUUGAAUAAUAGUAUGGUGAAUGAAAUUGGAGGCAAGCAUUCAUGAUUUUCUUUUAAAAGUGGUUGUGCCAAAUAGAAUAUGUAAUUUUGAAUCUCAUAUGUAUGUAGAAAUUCAAAUAUGAAUUAUUCUUCAACAUUAAAAAUGAUAUUUACUCAUAUUUAAUAUCUUUUGGUAAUUUAUUUUAUUUAUAGCUUAUAAGGAUAUAUCUUCAUGUUUAUCAGCAUAUUAAUUCAUAUCCAAAAACUGUUUUUUAGUCAAGAAAGCUCCUACUGCAUGUAAGCACUAAAAUGUGUUCAUUAUCACCUAUUUAAUUUAGCUUAAUCCAAACAAUACCUUACCCUGGGCUUCAGUAGCUGACCGGCUGUUGUAAUGCAGGACGAUGCCAGGAAGCUUGACAAAACUGCCAAAAAUCGCUACUCAGUGUAGCUUCACGAUUAAAGAUAAAAAGAAAUGGUUGAUGCCACCGUAGUGUCACGACCCGCUCGAUCUUGGCACAAGAAGAUCGAGAAAUUUAAAAUGUUGACGAGUUGGGGCUAACCGGAAUAUUCUAGACUCCCACAAGUGCAUGAAGAUUGCUAGAAUAUGGUGGGACAUUCUAGAAGCCUACAAGCCCCUCACUUGGUAGAUUAUUCUAGAUCAUCCUAGUUUAGUCCAUAGAUAUUUUAAUGUAGAUAUUUGUAUAGAUAAUUCUAGAUGUGUAAUCUAGACCGUUGGAUAGAAAAGAUCCUAGCCAUCCAUUUGAGGAGGCUACCACUAUAAAUAGCUUGGUAGGAUUCAUUUGAAGGAUCAAGAGAGUGAAAUUGUAAAGAGUAUUUUUUAUUCAAUACAAAGCCUUCUUUGUAAGCUCUUGUGUUUCUUCAUUGUCCCUUUCUUAAAGUGUUCUACUUAGUGCCUUUCUAAAACAUCAACGCCAAUCGGGAGGCUGACUUAGUGUAAUAACCGCGGGGGCGGAAGUUGAAGACACUAAGGCCGCACGGUUCUUGAAGGAAAUUAGCAAGUCCGUGACAGUUGGUAUCAGAGCCUAGGUUUGCUCACUUACUAUCGUUGGCAUGGCGGAAAAAGAUGUUGUGGGAUCCGGCAUUUCGAAAGUAGGAAAGACGUGACGAUUUUGGGUCGAGGACGGCUUACUCUACACUACGGGGUAGCGUAUCUAUGUUCCUAAGUGGAACAAUUUGCGGCGAGAUAUCAUCAAGGAGUGUCAUGACACAAAGUGGGCUGGUCAUCCAAGGCAGAAACACACAUUGGCACUACUUGAACGAGCUUACUAUUGGCCGCAAAUGAAAGACAUGGUGGAGCUCUAUGUAAAGACUUGUCUUGUGUGCCAACAAGACAAGGUGGAAACAAGGUCACCAGCGGGUUUGUUGGAGCCUCUACCAGUCCCGGAGCGUCCAUGGGACUCUAUCACCAUGGACUUCAUUAGUGCCCUGCCUAAAUUCGAAGGGUUCGGGUCAAUAAUGGUGGUGGUUGAUCGAUUCUCCAAGUAUGGCACCUUCAUUCCUGUCACCAAGGAUUGCACAGCGGAGGAAGCCGCAAGGCUAUUCUUCAAGAAUGUUGUGAAGUAUUGGGGGUUACCGCGGAGCAUAAUAAGUGAUCGUGAUCCCCAAUUCACGGGUCGGCUAUGGACGGAGUUGUUCAAACUCCUAGGCUCGGACCUACACUUCUCUACAAGCUUUCACCCUCAGACGGAUGGACAAACAGAAAGGGUGAAUGCUUUGUUGGAGUGCUAUCUCCGGCACUUUGUAAGUGCCAAUCAAAGAGAUUGGGCCAAGCUCCUGGAUAUUGCACAAUUUUCCUACAAUUUACAAAGGAGUGAAGCCACGGGGCGGAGCCCAUUCGAGUUGGUGACAGGACAACAACCACUAACACCCUACACUUUGUCCACUUCUAUUGAAGGAGGGAAAAACCCCGGAGCAUACAAAAUGGCUAAGUCAUGGGAAGAGCAUGCCGACUUAGCACGAUCUUGUUUAAACAAAGCCCAGAGGCGCAUGAAGAAGUGGGCCGAUAAGAAGAGACGGCCUUUGGAAUUUAAAGUUGGCGAUCAAGUCCUUGUGAAAAUAUUACCUCAACAAUUCAAGGCGUACCGAAGUGUACACAAAGGCUUGGUACGGAGAUAUGAAGGGCCGUUCCCGGUGANNNNNNNNNNNNNNNNNNNNNNNNNNNNNNNNNNNNNNNNNNNNNNNNNNNNNNNNNNNNNNNNNNNNNNNNNNNNNNNNNNNNNNNNNNNNNNNNNNNNNNNNNNNNNNNNNNNNNNNNNNNNNNNNNNNNNNNNNNNNNNNNNNNNNNNNNNNNNNNNNNNNNNNNNNNNNNNNNNNNNNNNNNNNNNNNNNNNNNNNNNNNNNNNNNNNNNNNNNNNNNNNNNNNNNNNNNNNNNNNNNNNNNNNNNNNNNNNNNNNNNNNNNNNNNNNNNNNNNNNNNNNNNNNNNNNNNNNNNNNNNNNNNNNNNNNNNNNNNNNNNNNNNNNNNNNNNNNNNNUAGAUAUUUUAAUGUAGAUAUUUGUAUAGAUAAUUCUAGAUGUGUAAUCUAGACCGUUGGAUAGAAAAGAUCCUAGCCAUCCAUUUGAGGAGGCUACCACUAUAAAUAGCUUGGUAGGAUUCAUUUGAAGGAUCAAGAGAGUGAAAUUGUAAAGAGUAUUCUUUAUUCAAUACAAAGCCUUCUUUGUAAGCUCUUGUGUUCCUUCAUUGUCCCUUUCUUAAAGUGUUCUACUUAGUGCCUUUCUAAAACAUCAACGCCAAUCGGGAGGCUGGCUUAGUGUAAUAACCGCGGGGGCGGAAGUUGAAGACACUAAGGCCGCACGGUUCUUGAAGGAAAUUAGGAAGUCCGUAACAGUAGGCUAUCCUGUCACCAGUGGCUGGCUUUCAUUUUGUCUUAUUUAGUACGGAGAACAUUUCUGAGGAUUCCAUAUAUGGACUUUUUUGCCGAAAUCUGAUACUUACUGUUACUGAUUGAUUACCUCUUUGUAACAGCCAUUCAGUAUGAUCCAGUUCGGAUAUGGCCGUUCAGUAACAUGGUACCAGAUUUUGUGAAAAGUGUUUUUUUUUUUUUGGAGAAUUUGUGGUCCAUGUCUAAAAUUAUUUUAUUGAAAGAGUAUGUGAUUGAAAAAAAAAAAAAAAGAGUACAUGGGCCGAUAUUAUUCAAUGUGGAUAUUAUAUUAUAUUUUCAUUCUUCCUUCUUCAAACCUACAUAAUCUAUAAAAAUAAGAGGGAUGGAAAACAAUAAUGAGUUUGUAAUGACUAUUGUCAUUCAACAAUCAAAGCGUGGAUCUUAUCUAGGAUUAAUGGCUAUUCAACAAGAUAUACGUAUUAAAGGCCAUGUCUAAAAAUUAUAUAUGCACUAGUUUAAGCUUUUCUGGUCCAUUUGAUUGUAAAUGUGGAAAAAGACAAAAUCAAUUCCAUGUAAGUUGAAAAAGAAAAAACUACCAAAACUAUAGGAAUUUGAGUUCCAUUCAAUUGGUCAAAAACAUGUUUUAAGUGUUUGUACCUUGAAAUUUGAACCCCUUUUCUACUUUCAUAUCAAACAAACAAAGUAGAAAACGAAUUCCUCAGAUGCAACAUUUUUCAUGGAAUUCAAUGCUAUCAAACAGACCCUUAGAUUAUUGUCGAAAAGUAUUGAGGGAGAAGCUACACUUUCGUGAUGAAAUAAUUUAUUAUUAGUUUAUUAGUUUAGUACAUUGAUUCACUCUUAGAUAAGCUUGCGCACGAUUUGGUUUGGGUUGGUUUCGACUCCAACUCGAAACCAAAAUCAAAUUAGUCGGUUUUGAUGAAUCUCAAUCAAAUCAAUCCACUCUAACUCUUAAAUCAAAUGGAACCAAACCAAAUCGGCUCAAUUUGAUUCGGUUAGUGGGUUUUAACUUUUAGUCCAAAAUGAUUUUUUUUUUUUUUAAAUUUCAAAAAUGUCUAAGUUUUGUGCCUGCUUAGAUUAAAAGAACUAAUAUAAGUUUAUAUAAUAAAAAUUAUUGACUAAUAAAUAAAAUUAGGUUAAUAGAGAUGGAUCAACUGAAAACUUAAUAAUUUUACUUAUUUAUUUAUUUAUUUAUUUAAUACAUUAUUUAACCUGAUUGCCCCGAGUAGGAAAAAAUGGCUAAGUAUAACAUAAUGAGCAUAUGAAAAGAAAUUCUUAGUGUUUUUAGUUAUCAACAACAUUAUAGAUUGGAAGGAAUUGAAAUAUGUUAAAAGAUUAUGACUUAUCUUUUGAUUUUUAUUUUUCUUUACAUAAAAUGGUAAAUAUUAAAUGGGUUGGGUUGGUUCGAUUAACCAGCGGUUUGAGGCUAAAAAUGAUAACCGAAUUGAUUUACCAUGAUUUGUAAAUCAAAUCAAACCAAAUACCUAUGAGAAACUGACACGAACCAUUGGUUCGAGUCGGUUCGAUUUGAUUGGUUUGAUCGAUUUUUUUUUUUUUUUUUUUUUUUUUUUUUUUUUUUUGGGUGUCCAGGCUAGCUCUUUGACAAGAUAUGUAAUAAAAUUAAGCUAUUUGCUUUUGCUCGUAACUAAUUUGUAAGUAAUCGAAGGCUCUGAUAGCGUAGACAAUAGGGAACUCAAAUUCUUAUGGUUUUCUGAGUGUUUCAUGUCGUUUUCGAAUAUUAGACUAUUCUCCAUUUUGGGAUUUGCUUGUCAAAACCUUUUUUUCAAGAUUGCAACUUUUUUUGUCAAUUAAUUAGAUUAUACUUGUGGAACUCAAAUAGCAUUUUCCUAACACGCUUUCUAUUCUUCGAAAUUGAUAUAAGAUUUACCUUUAUGUUAUUGACAAAAGUUUGAGCAGAAAAUUGUGGGUUUGCUACUAGCCACGUAUUUGUAUAUAAAUUGAACAUUCCUGUUACAUAAAUAAUUAUACGCGGUCGCAUUCAGACGAUUUGGGUAACACACGUGGCUUUGCUGUCAAAUAUUUUAACCUUUGUCGCCAAGGUUCAAAUCAUCGUUACGCAUUGGUUCAUGAUAAUAUUAAUUUUAUUUCUAUUUGAUAUGUGUAGUACUUGUUAAUAAGACAAUCCAACAUUAACCUAAUCUAGUAUUCCUUUUAUUCUCCAACUUGGAAUUUCGUAAAAUGUACACCAAUCUAACUACAAAUAAUCAAACAAGAAAAUAUAAUUUUUUCAUACAAAAUUUAAAUAACAACCCAUUAAAUACUUUUCUUUAUCAAAUUCUAAAUCUUCAUUUCUUUUUCUGAAGAGGGAAAUAAUUUUACAUCUCUGAUAAGAACUAAUGACAAAUGUGGUCGACUUGAAUAAGAUCAAGAGAAUUAAAAUUUAAGUGUCCCCCNNNNNNNNNNNNNNNNNUUUUUUUAACUAUUUGUUUUUUUUUUCCUUCCCCUUAACAUCAUCAAGUCUUAUCUUAUUCAGCUUACCAAAUAAGCCAGAAGUCUAAAGGAAUUUGAAAAGGGCUUUGCAAAUAUUAAUUAAUUUCAUUUCUGGGUUAUGUUUCAAGAAAUCCAGUCAUUUUGAGAAUUGAAUUCCUGACUUCACUCAAAUUUCUGCCCUUAAGAGUCCUUCCAUUUCCGGUGCAGACGGAGAACGCCAUCAUUUUCUCGGCGACCCGCUGGCUAACGAUAACGUGGGGUGGUACCAUUUCUCCACCGUCGUUUUCGUCAUCGAAAAUUUCCGAAUCUACAUACUGAACCGUCCAUAAACUUCCAGUUAUGUUUGCUGGGAUAUUUACCGGAACUGAAUUCUUCUUGGUCUUGAAUUUCUUCCUCUUGGUUUUGAUAUUUCUUCACGGAAAAUUGUACUCCUCGUUGCCAUCUUCAUCUCCGGCAUAGUCUUGAAAAAUAACUUCAGAUUCUUGAAAUACUUCUGCCAUGGAAAAUGAGAGAAAAGUACGAAUUAAAAUGGUAUUUAGGAAUUGGUAAAGGGUGGGAAAUGCAAGGAAAUUUAUAGAGGGCGAAAAUGAUUGAUUAGAGGAAGAGAGUUUGAUUGGGGGUGGUGAAGUGGCGUCAUUGUAAAGGGCGUUGAGUGCGGACCCAACUUUCUGCGUCUAUGUUUUAUGUGUUUUUCUCACUCUUGAAGUAACUCCAAAAUAAGCUUUCCAAAGACUAAGAUGCUGUUACUUGUGCCUCACGGCUCUGUUCUGCCUAUUAUUUUUGCUUGGCCUGUAAUUUGUGCAGUUUAAUGACUCCAUUCGUUGGUCUUUAGUUUCGAUUAGCUUAAGAUUAAAAACAAGGACAACUCUACACGAAUUUUUUUAUCGAAUCUUUUACCUACUACUCAUAACGAGGUGGGGAUCACAUGUCAACAUUUUUUAUUUCACGCAGAGCCUACAUUCGAUACAUAUGGAAUAAUCCCAAAAACAAUAUUCUUUAAAUUUUAAUAGGUCAAUAUUUACUUUUAGUUAGUGAACUUCAUAAUAUUUACUUUGUUAAUCUUUGAAAUCCAAACUAAAUACAUUCAAACUAAAUAUGAAAAUGAUUUAUCAUACUUAUGAUAUGUUUAUGUAUCACCUAAUUAUGUACUGAAAUCGAUUUCAAGGUAAAGCAAUAUAAGCAAACAGUAUGAUAAUUCAGUAACGUUGUUAGUUCUAAGGACAAAAUCAUUUUCAAGAAUUAAUAUUAUAAGCAUUAUAAAGUUUACGAUAGAUAUUUAACAUUAUAAAAUUUAGUUGUCAUUUUGAUGUAUGCUUCUAAAUUCACGUAAAAUUUAUUCUUUAUUAUUAUGCGAAUAUAUAAAAUCUUAUACAUAGAUUAACGAAAUCUCUUUUCUCUAAACAGAAUAAAAAAAAAAAAAAUACAUUCGAUCUCCACAAGAAGAUAAAAUAGAAGACGUUAAUCGAAAAAUGAAAUAAAUAAAAGUAAUAAAAAAAAUAAAAUAAGAAACAUCACAAUGUUCCAUAAAAAAAUGAAUAAAGUUGUUUGUACAAAUAAAAAUUAUGGGAAGCAUUAUUGGUGAUGAGAUUACAACACUGCAGUGAUUGAUUUAACUUUAUUUUGUAUUCAACAUUCAAUAAAUACUUGCUAACUGACAAUAUGUAAAAAACUUUGAACUAUGCUGGACGAAUAGGGUCACGCCAGGGAGUUUAAUUGGCGCCCCCUCCCCCCUCCAAUAAGGGGGCGCCAAUUAGAUGUCCAUAGGCCUUCUCUAAGAAAAUUUAUUGAAGGAUUUUUGUACAUAUAUGAAAAAUUUGUCGCUACCAAUGAGAGGUUUGUUCGCCUUGUCCAAGAAGAUUUAUUGAAAGAUUUUUGUACAUAUAUGAAACGUGGCCUUGACCGUCCAGGGCGUUUAAUUGGCGCCCGAUGUCCAUAGACCUUGUUCAAAAAAAAUUAUUGAAAGAUUUUUGUACAUGCACGAAAUUUUUUUUUCUACCAAUUAGACGUCCGUUUGCCCUGUCCAAGAGAUUUAUUGAAAGAUUUUUGUACGUAUAUGAAAAAAUUGUCGCUAGUCAAAAGAAGGUGAAAAGAAGGAAUAAAGACUACCUUUACCACAAAAGGACAAACUCAUUAUUUUAAAACACUGAAUGGACCCACUUUUAUGAGAAAUUCAGUAUUUUAUACUAAAAAAUGGAGCUCAGCCGAUCCAAAUCCAUUUUUUUUUUUAUAUACAGGUAUCCCAGCUUACAUCAGACUAAAUUCUGGACCUCCAAAACCCUUGCCUCUAAAAUCUUGGAGGGGGUAAAUCGCGGGUUAUGCCUCAACUGGAUUACAGGUUCCCCCCAUUACCUGUACACUUUUGCGCACAAGAAACCCUCCUUCACAGUGAUUGCUCCAUACCAAAUAUUUGGCCACAGGUUCCCACCAGGAAUCGAACUCUCCACCCUGCCGCUGGACACAAGACAAUGUUGAUUGAUCCACCAGUUGAGCUGUGCCCCGAGGGGCAAUCCAAAUCCAUUUUUGAGUGUACCUUAAGUUUCAAAAGCUGUAUUCUGGCAAAUUAGUAGACAUGGGCGGAUCAGUCGUAAGUUAAAAGCGUUCGCGCAGCUCGGCACAUCCGACGGCUCAUAUUUCACCCCAAAGAAUUCAAGGUCCACCGAGUUAUCGAUAUACAGGUAUGCCAAAAAAAAAAGGUUGAAAAAAUGACAAGCCACUUAUAAAUUGACACGUUACAUUUGUGAAAUCAUACGCUCUACAAAGAAAGGCAUCUGGAUUAUUCUCAGCCAGACGGCUUCCUCGCCGUUUUAAGUAGAGAUAAAAGUGUUCAAUUAGGCUGCAAGGAAACAAAAGGAAGUACAUCUUUGGCUAGCUUUAAAAUUUUAGUUUCGAGCAAGUUUAGGGUUGGCAACGGUUCGGUUAUGGGUCGUUCAGCCAAAAUCAUAACCGCACCAUCAAUUUUUUGACCAUACCAUAACCGCACCAUAACCACGUAAAUCGGUUCGGUUCGUAUCUCCGUUCGGCACGGUUCGGUUCGACUAUUAACCACGAAAAUAAAUUAUUUUUUAUAGAUUCAUCCGUCAAAUUGAUAUAAAAUAAUUUAUGAAAAAAGUCAAUGAAAACAAAAACACAGUAUUUCAGAUGAAAAUGCAAACAUUAUCAAACAAUAUUCCAAACGAAAAUACAAAACAUUAUCCCAAUUUUCAAUUGUAAAAUACAAAUUUAACAAACAAUAUUAUAAAUAUAAUAAUACUAAACUUUUCCUUUAUUCUUAAUUGUUGUGCAUUGAAGUUACUUGAUUCAUUCUUCUCCACAAGUCUUACUAGCAUAGAUCAGCACUCAAAGUUGAUUCCUAUAUAGUAAAUAAGAAAUGUAAGUAGAGAAUAUAACGAUACUACCUAUUCAGAAUAUUCUUAACUAAUAUUUAAAAAAAUGUAUAUCUUCAUCAACUUCCUUCUCACUAAACGUUGUACAAACUCUAAAGUAUGAUGAAAAAGUAUAAUUUUCUACACAUAAUAGAAAAAAGUUAAUAAUAAAAUGAGCCGUGCGUGAGUUUAUGGUUUGUGGAGAGUAGUGUUUGCAUUUAUAUACUGUCAUACUAAUACUAAUAUUAUGGGCUAAUGGUAAGUGGACUGGUCGGCUGAGUCAGGUAGAUGUAAUGGAGGGGAUUUUGUUUUGAGCUAAAUAGAAAAGUAGUGUAAAAUCUAAUAAUCAAAUCAAUUCAAUUCAAUUGUGUGUGUGAGUGUAUUUUUUUUUUUUUUUAGUGGGCAAUCGAUUCGGUUUCGGUUCGACGGCAUAAGGACCAUACUCACUCCGCCAUGAACCGGUUUAUUAAAAUCAAAACCAUACUCGAUUGCACCACCAAUUGCACCACCAAUUCGAUUUUUUUCGCUCCAUUCGGUUCGGUUAACCGCAAUUUUCGAUUUUGAUGGAUCAAACUGCCAUCCCUAAGCAAGUUUAGUCAUAAGUAAUUAAAUAGUUAAAGAUAUUUUUUAUUAACCAAAGUUCGAAAUAAUCGAUUACUUAUUUUUAACAUGACUCUUAUAUGUUUUAUGGAGAUAUCAAAAGGUGCUGAAUUGGCCAAAUGACUUAGUAGGGGCUUGGUAUAGUCCAAUACAAAAUAUGCAAAAUAAGAAUACAUACUCGUAGAUUAGGCACAAUCUUAUCCAUUUUAGAUGCGUCAAUCAUAUAUAAUUUAAAAUGAGCAAGGCAAAACAUAGUCGUGUCAGGCCUACGCUAGUCAAACCAUCUCAAAACUAAACCGUAACUUGUUAGUUUAGAAUAUAUAAACGUGCAACACUUGAUUGAGUAUAACUUUACUUAUUUGUCUUUUGAAGAAAAUGACAAACAAAGCUUGGCGGUCAAUUUCUUCCUGAAGCUUACCCAUUUUUGCAUUAAUCUUAGUGGACAUUUAUAUUCUCCACAUUCUAUUUAUAUAGAUUUGUUUUAUUUUUCAUACGAAUUAAGAAAUUUUAUUAAUGUUACUGAAAGGAUAAUUUUUGUCAAAAUUUUUUCUAAUUUACCAUUAUUUAUAUUUGUACAAUUUCAAGAUUAAAUAAAAAAAAAUUGAUUAUAACUUGACAAAUUACAUAUAUUAAUAAACAAAUAAAACAAAAAAUUCUCAAUAAUGAAACAAGACUAUAUAAUUGAGACAAAAAAAUAUGAAAAGUCAGCUUAUAUGAGAUGGAGGGAAUAAAAUAUUCUAUUGAGGAUAAUGACCUUAACCUCAUCCACUUGGUUACUUUCCUUAAUUAACUACACUAUAAUAUUUAGGUAUUUGGUGUUUANNNNNNNNNNNNNNNNNNNNNNNNNNNNNNNNNNNNNNNNNNNNNNNNNNNNNNNNNNNNNNNNNNNNNNNNNNNNNNNNNNNNNNNNNNNNNNNNNNNNNNNNNNNNNNNNNNNNNNNNNNNNNNNNNNNNNNNNNNNNNNNNNNNNNNNNNNNNNNNNNNNNAAUUUUAUUUUCAAUCAUAAAUUUCAAUAGACCUGUAAGUAUUAUCUACUUAUCCACAACUCAUACUAAAUAUAUAAUAAGUAAAAUUGAAGAUACGACGAAUGACUACUCUAAUUAUUAAGCAAAAUUAUUUUUGAGGCGAACAAGAAAUUACGUUCCAAGUAAAUCAAUUACUAACUACAAGUAUGAACGUGAAAAUUUAUGGUGGCAAUAUGAUAUCAGAUAUUCAAAAGAAAUUUUAGCACUUCUUUGGUAGAGUAUUCAGUACUCUCUUUGUCAUCGUUAAACUUACUUUCAUAUUAAGCCCUUGUUUAGGCCCAUUUUAAUACAAAUUUGGGGAAAAAUGAGUUUUGAAUAAUGAUUUUUUUGGAGAAUGUGUGGUUAAAAAAAUAAAGAAAAGCUUUUGAUUUAUAUGUAAUAUUGCUUUAUAAAAGAAUGUGUGGUUGCAAAAUGAAUUUUGAAAAAAACGAAUUUUUGAAAAAAAGGUCGAACAUAGGUUAAUUAACUUGAAUACACUAUUUAAUUAGGAUUCAAUCAUGCACAUAUCCAUUAAAUAGUGACAUGAAUUACUGAAUUUCACACUCUAGAAUAUUAAAUUUUUUCUCCAAUAUACUGAGUUGGAAGAGGAAGAGUAGGACUUGGGACUAACCUAGGUAUGGGCUUGGGCCUCCUCUCAAGUCUUGGUUUAAUAAGAAUAUUAUUUUUGGAGAGAACAAUUAAUCAACUUUGAGUAAUGUUAUUUAUAAGUUGUACUCAGAGCCAACCGUUUGUGUGACAGUUUUGUCAUUGUCAAAUUAUUCAAUAAAAAUAUAUUGAAACUUUAUUAGAAAAUGUGACAGUGAUGUAUAAACAACUUACAAAUAAUAUUUUCUAAUGAGGAUUUGACUUGGAAACAUAAUCUUCCAAUAAUGUGUCAAUUGCCAGCAUGUGGCACAAUAACGUAACACAUGGUUAAGUAAAUUCGUCCGGUGUUAAACUACAAGAUAUGUACAUAUUCCUUUUCGAAAGUACGUCUUUAAAUAAAUAUUUUUUUUUGUUAAUAAUCACGGUCUCUCGAAUAGGGCAUGCCCCUUUCAACUAGCAUGUUUCUGUUGAAUAGUGAUGGUCACUGUUCAUGAAUAGUGGAUACUAAUCGGUAGAAAGUUUUCCAUUCGCAUUUAAUGCAGAGGUUAUCAUGCAUGGUUUUCUUCUCAAAUUUCAAAUGCAAUUGGGAAUGGCAUUAAAGUCACUGAAUGGAUAUACGUGAAUAGCAUUGUGCAGCGAGUUAAGCGGGACAAAAUUGAGAGAUUAUCUCUGCGUGGCAAAUAAAAUACACAGAAUGUAUUUUUGUAUUGCUCUUCUUCUCUUGUUGAUAUAGUGAAAAAUUUGUGUGAGUUUGUGGACGUAGGCACGAUUGUCGAACCAUGUAAAUUAUUGUGUCAUACUUGCAUUUAUUUUUGUUAUCUUCAUUUGCUCUUAUUUUAAAUUAUUUUGCGUCCCACUGAUCUUGACAGAGUUAGUAGCUUUACACUUUCCACCACUAUAAUAGAAUCCUCUUUGCAAAAUUUUUAAUCGAGUUGUUCGGCUAACUUUUGAGUUCUAGAAAUGAUUGUACUAAUACGUGAGAUUAUCGCUUAAAGUCUAAAAGCACAUUUUCUCAGUUCCAUACUCGUUGGAAGGUGCAGGACAAGUACAUAAUACAUAAUUAACAACUUUAUUAUUGGCAUGAAGCAAAACACAAUGGAGAAAAAAAAACAUUGAACUCCAACCUUGAGAGUCUCCACCGCCCCGCCCCUAGAGUUUUAUGAGGGAGGUAAAUUACGGGAUGUGCCCAAGCAGGCAAGGGAACAAGAGCUGCCUGUACACUGCGUCUACAGAGAGUUUAAUUCCAUGUCUCAAGAAUCGAACCCUUACACUGCGACUGCUAACAAGGCGUGAGAUAAUCUCACUCCUAUCCUUUGCACGAUUGAGCUAUGCCCCGGGGGGCAAAAAGAAAAGAAAAGAAAAAACACAACAGAGAAUUCACACUUAAUAUUGAUUGAGUAAGGUCUAUGUCUAAUUCUUUUAGGACACGUUUGCGCCUAAUAUUGGACAAGCCAGUACAAUGAAUAAGAUUUUAUUUAUUUUUUCUUAAUAUUUUACAGUAUUUUCUUGUUCACCCAAUACCGUGAGGUAUUUACUCUAAGGAUAAUGCAAUUGGACUUCUUUAUGAAUCAAUUCGCUCCAACUAUAACAACCAAAUGCAAACUUAUUUUCCCGCAUAGGCUUCUUCCCUACAACCGUUAUGUUGAAGCCUCUACUUUUCCGCUUUAGCGUUGAAGUGUAACGUGGGUGGAGAUAUUUCUAUGGAGUAACCAGGAUGUUUUUUAAUUGUAACCAAGUAUGAAGACUUACUACCAACAUUUGUAACAGUUCGAGUGACAAUCAUGGAUACUUUAAGCUUAGGCACUUCGCAAUUGCUAGUGAUAGAUAGUUGAGAUUACUCGGCGAAGGAAUAACAUUGGGACAUUUGAAAGAUGGAACGAGCAAAUUACAGCUAUUAGGACAGAGGAAGAGAUGAUAGUCAGUAUAAGAAGCAUUAUAAACAAUUCCUGAAUCAACUGCCUUUGAAGGCUGAAUGUGGCCCACGUUAUUAUGUAAAAGAAUAAAAUCUCAUAUCGAAUAAAAAUAAAAAUUUAGACUAACUUAUAAGAAUUUGGGAUAAAGUGUUUUUUUUUUCUUUUUCCAAAUAAAAUUUUCGUUUAAUGGCCCCUGAAUAUUUUGAGUAUUCUUAAAGAAAUUUUUUCUUGCUACUUAGGUAACAGGCAUCUCUGCUAUAAGCCGGCCCGCAGUCGAAGCGAAAAUAUUCCAAACGAACGACAUUUAUUGAAAUCUAAUUCGGGUGACAAUAGAUGAUUUUCUUCUCCUUGACCAUAUAAACAUUUCAUAUUUGAUGGUUCUUUGUGUUGUGAAUCGAUGGUGAUAUACGCUGAUGUGUUGUUUUGGAUGAAACUUGUGUUAGUUUUUGCUAGGAUUUUAUUUCAUUUCUCUUGAAUAUUUACGAAAAUGCAAGAAGACAUUUUCAAGGCCGGAAAGAAAGAACGCCACUUUAUGGAAUAAAUAAAAGAGAUUCUGCUGGGAGGAUGAUUGAAUUUUUAUAAUUGCAUUCUUUGCAUCAUGACGCCUAAAUAAAGAUAUACGUAAUUGCUCGCUUCACAAAGCAAAUUGAAACGGGUAGAUAUCUGGACUUCCAAAUGAAAAAGAGACAGUUUAUGGUUCACUGGAUAAAUUGAUGGCUUGUGAUACUACAUGACUGCCGGCAAGCACAAAUGGCAAGAUAAACGCAUGAUGUGAUCUGGAUAGAAAGCGAGUGAUUGAAGUAUGAGUUUUGCUCGAAUUCUCGUCCAGACAUUUUUGUUGAAAGUGGACCGACAACAAGAAGCUGAAACAUUAAAAAUUCUAAAUUUUUUUUUCUCCAACUAUGUGGGCUAGUAAUGAAAUCCACAGUGUUCAUAUCUGUAGAAGCAUAUCACUUUUUUAUGACUUGUCCAAAAGGUCCCAUUAAGAAAUUUACAAGUCAAUUUCCUUCUUACUACUGCUACUACUAUUACUACGUGCCUUUGUAAUACAUUUUAAUUAUUUAAUUAGUAAUGAUUGAAGAAAUGAAUUAAAAUAAAAGCACUUAAAAAGUUUUAAAAUAUAACAAAAACGAUUAUUUAAAGUUAAAACGAAAAUGUCACAACAACCAUAUACACACAUCAUUCUACAAUUAUUUAAGGAAAACAUUACAUAAAACAAGUGAAUACAAUGUUUUCAUUAAUUUAAUGUAAUUUAUGCAGUUGUAAAAUAAAUGAAUAAAUAAUUUUUCAGGUAAAUAAAUUGUUGAGAAUUAAAAAAAAAUGAAGAAAAUAGUUAAAUACUUUUUAUUUGGUGUAAGAUUUGAUGUAAUGGAUUGGAGAUGAAUUUUAUUUUGGUACAAGAUUUUGGGCAAAAUAGUGCAAAACUCACCUUAAAUUUUGAUUUAGGGUUGGAGAUGGCUUAAGAACUUCAACAAUUAGAACAAAAAUAGAGGGCCUCAAGAAGAAAAAUAAGCACUUUAUACCUCGUAUGCAUUGACUGUGGUGUUUAGUAUAGAUAGUUGGUGAUUGACCAGAAUAAGAUAAAAUGACAAUCGGUGAUUGAAAAUGAGAUAUUUAAUAUUUAUUAGAAAGUUGUGAGAUAAUUUAAUGAAAACUUGAACAUGUUUUUAAAUUUAAAGGUUUGAGAAUUCAUUUAUUCUUUUUUGAAAGUUAAAGACUGACCAAGGAACUUCAACAAUUAGAACAAUAAUAGCAUACCCCCACAAAGAAAAAUAAGUACUUUAUACCUCAUAUACGUUAAAUUUGGUGUUCAGCAUGAACAAUUGGUGAUUGAACAAAAUAACAUAAAAUGACAAUUGACGAUUGAACAAAAUAGCAAAAAAUGAGAAUUGGUAAUUGGAAAUCAAACAUAUUUCUAAGAAAGUUGUGGAAUAACUUAACGAAAACUUGAAUUUAUAUUGAACGUCAAGAGUUCAUUUAUUCUUUUUUGAAAGUUAAAGACACACUAAGAACUUCAAAAAUUACUGAAAAACAAUAAUAGCGGACCCAGGAAGAAAAACUAGCACUGUAUACUUCGUAUACAUUGAUUUUGGUGUUCGGUAUGGACAAUUGAUGAUUGAAUAGAAUAUGAUAAAAUGACAAAUGGUCAAAGGGAAGAAAAAGGCCAUUUGAAAGCGGGCAGUGCUACAUGAACAGGGCCACAUAGCCCUAUUUUUUCAGGGUUUGUGGCCUUUUUUGAGAAGAUUUAUCCUUUGAAAGGCCUGUUAGAGAAGAUUUAUUCUUUGAACGCAAAUAGUUUGAAAAGGGGUCAAAUCUUCAACUUUUUCCUUUAUGUUUAGUAAUUUUUGACUAGUUCAAAUAUAAAAACAACACAAACAAAUUGGUUUGUUUGUCCGUUACACAAAAGUUAGCCCUUGUUUGGUAGAGAUUAAAAUCGAAUUUUUAGUAAAUUUUGAUAAAAGUUGAUGAAAUAUGUAGUUGAAAAAUUGUAGGUUCCAUGAAAUAUGCGGUUAAAAUUAAUUGUUUAUUUUGACCUAGAUUUUAUUCCUACCAAACAGGGGCUUAUUUGGCUAUACAUGGAUAAAUUAAUAGAACUAGUGCAUAAUUAGUACAUAGGGUGUAGCCUUGUACAACCUGUAAAACACGAUUUCAUGUAGCAUGUUCACUAAUCAUCUAAAUUCCUAUAUUCUAUUACAAUGUUAAGUCCCUAUUUGAUUUAGCUAAAAAUCAGAUUGAUAAAAAUUGAUGGAAUGCAUGUUUGAAAAUUGAUUAAAAUUGUGAGUAUCAUAAAAUGUGUGAUUAAAAUUAAGUAUUGAUUUCAACUUAAAUUUUUAUCAACUUUUUAAUUAAAUGUGAAAGCGUAUGUGGCAUAUGAUCAUAAAAAGAAUAAAAAAGUACCUAAGUUAAAUAAAGCUGGAGUAGUUUUGGGCAAAGGAAAAGAAUAUUAAGUGCAUGUUUAUAUAUAGAACUCGAAAAAUUUGUUCUUUAAAUUCUGUCGGUUAUUUUACAUAUAACCUUACUAAACAAGCCAUAAAAAUAUGCAUUUUUUUCGUAUAUUUAUUUAGGGUAUAUACUGUAUGACACAAAGAUAUAUUUUCUGACAACUUUCAAGAGUACGACAAUUUGUUGAGAGAAUAAUUUUGCAAUCCUGUGUGCCCAUUAAUAUCGUCACAUAGAUAUAAGGUUGGGUGGAUAGAGAUCUCUGGAAGAGGUAAAUGACGAGCCGAUUUCUCGUGCAUCAGAAGGAUUAGAAAAGGUCUGAGUUUCACUUGAACUAGGUUUCAAGUCUUCAAGCUUCUCUCUGAGUGAUUGAAGCUUCAAUUCAUCUUCAUAGAUGCUUGGAUCUAUCUUAAAUUCCUGAACAUUUAUAUAUCCUUCAAGCAUGCCACAAACCGUGGACAUUGGAGGCCUUAGGGACGGAGAUGGAUUGGUGCACAAUAGAGCAACUUUGAUCAUUCGUUAUGCCUUGUCCAUAUUGAAAUUUGAACCCAACCUUGGAUCCAUGAGCUCCAUCAACCUUCCUUCGUUUUGCAAAAUCGUAGCCCGAGACGAAAGGCCAUUGCAUGAGACCUUACUUCGUGGACAUAAGAACGAAAAACAGGUUAAUGAGAUAAAACUUCAUUAUCUGAUUUGGAGAAAAUACAAAUAUCUUACCCAAUCAAGAAGGCAAAUGAAACUUUCACUGGGACGAUAUUUCAUGUUGCUCUUUCCAGAAAUAAUUUCUAGUGCAACGACGCCAAAACUGUACACGUCUGCUUUGUAGGUUAAGUAACCCCACAUUGCAUAUUCUGGAGCCAUAUACCCGCUACAAAAUGAAAAUGAUCAAAUGCAUAUUAGCACAAGCUUUCACUCCCAUUUCUCAAAUAAGCAAGUUCAAAUUUCAAAUGUUGCACGUGGAUGAUUUGAAUAAUAAUUUAGUGUUGCAAAUGUCGUGAUACUAAAUAUUCCCAAAAGACUUUAAACCGCUUUCAUCUUGUUCAAGUUUGUAUAACAAGUUCAAUUGUAAGUAAAUAAAGUGGAUUUUUCAAUAAAUAAUUAUUUUAUUGGUCAACUAAAAAUGGCGAGAUGAAGAGAAAAAAAAUCUCACAUGGUCCCUGCAACUCUAGUGCUGAUGUGGGAGUUAUCAUCCUCAUCGAGCUUGGCUAAACCAAAAUCGGAAAUCCUUGGAUUGAGGUCUUUAUCAAGAAGAAUGUUGUUGGGUUUUAUGUCUCUAUGAACAAUUUUCAACGUGGAUUCUUCAUGCAGAAAAGCCAAGCCUCUUGCUAUACCAAGAGAAAAAAAUCUCACAUGGUCCCUGCAACUCUAGUGCUGAUGUGGGAGUUAUCAUCCUCAUCGAGCUUGGCUAAACCAAAAUCGGAAAUCCUUGGAUUGAGGUCUUUAUCAAGAAGAAUGUUGUUGGGUUUUAUGUCUCUAUGAACAAUUUUCAACGUGGAUUCUUCAUGCAGAAAAGCCAAGCCUCUUGCUAUACCAAUACAAAUUGUCUGGUUGGCCAGUCCAUUUUUAAUUGCCUUUCCUCUGGUCCUGUACUUGAUAAUACGAUUCAAUUAAGUGUGUGCAUGGAUUUUAAAUACUAAAUUUGUAUAUUAGACAAGAUUUUAAAGAAUGCAUAACGCAGGUACAAAUUCCAAUUACCAUAUAAAGCGCGGGCAAGGCUAUUGUUCUCCAUGUAUUCAUAAACCAGCAGUAAAUGGCUUCCCUCAAUGCAACAUCUAUACAAUUUUACGAGAUUUGGAUGCUGUAAACCAGAAAUCAUGCCUAUUUCAUUCACGAAUUCACCGUUCCCUUGCUUUGAUUUGGAAGACAGCUACUUGACAGCAAUUACACUACCAUCCAACAGUAUACCCUGCAAAUGAAGCAUUAUAGUAUCACAGACAUGCACGCAUAUAGAAAUGUUAGAAAAAUAUAAGCGCGAAGGUAUAGACAAAGUAUAAGAGAGAAAAGUUGGAAGUUAAUAUUUCUACAUACCUUGUAGACAGAGCCAAAACCACCUUCCCCAAUUUUAUUUGCAGCAUCAAAGUUGUUUGUGGCGGCUUUGAUUUGUCUAAAAGUAAAAAAGCCAGUCCGCAAAUCUAAUCCCCUUAGUUCUAGAAAAGAACAAUUUUUAGAUGUUGAAUUCAUUGUAAGCUAUAUAGUUAAGGAUUUCGUCAGCUCUCUUUUUCUCUAUGUAGUACACUAGAAUAUGUUUUAGUUUUUCUUUGAUCUAUUGCUUGGCCAUGGUCACAUCACCACGAGAAAAAUAUUUAUCCUAAAUUUGAGAGUAACUUCCAUAGUUGUCAGCUGAUGCAUUACUACUGUAAGACUAUCCAUAAAAUUAUAUACGACAAUUCAAUAUUUACAUUCUUGCUUAAAUACUAAGAAAGGUCUAUUUGUUCACCUUCUUCCCUUGAGAUCCUGCCUCCUAUAUAGCCUUUCCACCAUGAAAAAAUAAGAAUAAUGAGAAUGAAAAAAAUUGCCAAAGCUGUUACUUCUGUUGGGAUGAAAAUAUUCUUUCCUUCGGAUGGAGGCUUAAAAUCUACAUAAUGAAAGAAAUAAAGAAUAAUUUGUUACAUGGUGUUCAGUUUGCUAGCUAGCACCAGAAAAUAAUUACAUAAAGGAAUUGGUAUAGAAAAUUUGAGAACAAUAACAAGUGAAAAAGAACGAUAAUAGAUUAAUUAAUCGAGUACUAAUUUAAGUGCCAUCAACACCUGAGUCAUGUUGCUUAAGUUGCAAAAGAUUAUGUGGUUGUGCAGAUAAAAUGUAUAUUUUCUCAAAUAAAUAGAUAAAAAAAAAAUCUUAAGAGAGAUAGAGGUGUUUUGAGGAUAAAUUUAAUGGUAUUACACAAACUAUCUUACCAGAUUCCACAGAAAUGGCAGAUAUCAAAGGGUCAUAUACUCUUCCGAAAGGGAUGGCUAUUAAUCCUUUCCCAGAAUAGUAAAAUCGGAUAUCCAGAGUUUUAUUCUUAACCGUCGCAUUAAAUUGUUUUUUCACAGCGUUAUCAACUCCUUUCGCAUCCUUCUUAAUAUCAAAAUCUUUCAAUUUCAGUUCGUCCUAUAUUACGUUGAAUAAGUUUGAGUCAAAUUGCAACAGUAAAUGGCACUAAAAAAAACUGUUUAUUUAUUACUUGACCUGGAUAUAAAUGUCAAACAUCUGUCUCCCAAGACUCUGGAAAGAGUUAUUAUCUCUAAAAAUUAUCUCUGCAAAGUGAAGUGUCACAGUGUAGUUUCCAUUUGCUAAGCAACACCCGUAAUAAGUGAGAGAUAAAGGAGAUAGACGAGCAUCUGCAUAGAGUUCAGAGUCCUUCAUUUUCAGCACAGAUACAUUGUAGGCUUUAUAGUGAUUCUUGAACCAAGGAAAAUGUCCUGUACUACUAGUUCCCCAGUUCUCUUUUGAGUGAACAAAUUGUACUGAACCUCCUGUUUGUACAUUAGCUUCAAAUUUUUUGUUGAAAAUAGUAACUUCCCCUCCACCACAAUUUACAUAAAAGGAAUACCAAUUUGUGAAAAACCAAAGCAUAAUAAGUUUUCUAGAGCAUCUCUAAAAGACUCUUCAAACAUAAAAUUUCUCUAUUUUAAAGAAUCAAGCCUUAAAGUUAUGCUUCAAGAGACUAUUUAAUUUAACAUUUUAAUUUAGAGAGAGUUUGACUCUCCAAACUUAGAGAGUCAAACACGCUCUUUAUAAUUUAAUGCAUUUAAAAUAUUUCAAUUUUCAGUGAAAAAUAAUAUAAUAAUUUAGAGGAAAGCUAGUGAAAGUAAAAGACAAGAAAAAAACAAUAAAUAUUUUUCUGAAGUAGUAAAAUUAAGUAUUAUAUAUAAAGAACUUGUUGAAGUACUUAAAAAUUUUUACUCCCUAAAUUUAAAUGUUCUUUAUUGCGGAAGCUCAUUCGAAGAUCUUAGAAAUGGUGAAUUUCGGGCUCAGUUUUUAGUUAUAUUUUUCUACCAAACAACCAAUCUACACUACUCCAACCCACAACCAGUAUAUUCAUCUCGAUUGCUCCUCAAUCUCACCCACAAAGAAUAAGGUAACGGUGAUGAUUUAUAGGCCACAAAGGCAUGGGAAAAACAACGAAAAAGGCAAGAGAAUGGACCAAAAUACACAAGAUGAAGGCACUGAUUUUCUCUCUAUAUGGCAACUGACUUUUCCAGGAAGAAGCAACCACAUUUUUCCUCAUUUUCAUAAACAAAUCAUACACUAACGGCAAGGGGAAAAAGCAACAUAUAUAUAGGGUUAGGUUAGGUUUUAGUUGGACCAAUAAGGGUUAAAUGGGCCAAAAUUCAAAGCCAUCUAAGAGGUAAUAUAUAUGGGCUGUGAGUAGCUCUAAUUUCUUAAGCUACUUCCUACAGUCCAUAUUGUUUUUAGGUCGCGCUUUUAGACUUAACUGUUGGUAACAAUUUCACUCAUCGACCAAUACCUAUGAAAUUCAAUCUGACAUUUAAUAAUCAUAGCCAAAGAUUUAUUAGGUAUCAAAACUCAACAAAUCUUCACCUUUAUACUCAAUCAACUUACAAGUAAUCAAAAUACAAAGUUAGUACUUACACAAUCAAAGUAGCUAAUAAAAUUGGGAUCACAGACUUUACCUCGUGUUUUGGACCCGAAACACAUACCAUACCAACUUUACGUACUCACCAGGGCUAUAGUCUUAAAGAAAUACCCAAGUAGAAGUUUAUUAUAAUAGUAAACAAUCAAGAGCAAAUAAAUAUGCGAUGAAGAUAUAACAUAUGAUAAUACACAGAUCUUUUCAAACCCAUGUUCGCACAGAACAAAAGAUUAACACCAAGUUAAUCAAUAAACGGUUAACAUAUAUACAACAAAUGCAUAAAUGACCACAUGAAAAGAUCUUACCACACUUAUCCUAUCCCAUUUUUGUUUCCCUCUCAUUGCCCACCAUGUUUACUAAACUGAUCACUCAAUUCAUGUCUAAUUCAUAAAUCACAAUAGGUCCUAAAUUCGUAGGAUAAUCCUAUAUCAUCAUAUCAUUUUUCCAACCUACGUGGAUACAUGAGUCUCCACCUAACAUAAGUGAUAGACGUGUAUCUCUUACACUCCACAUGAUCAUGAUUUUCUCAGUUAAAGAGUUCCAACAUUUAAUCACAUUUUCACUCGUGAUCAAAAUGUCACAUCUCACAUUCCUGGUACAAACCACCAAUGUACCCCUAGUCAUCUAUACUCCACCUCACCAAUAGACACACAACACAAUUAUUGCUAUUACAUCCUAACCCACUAUGCAUGCAAACAAUUAUACCAAAUAAUCACAUUGCUCUCAAAUUCAUACAAUGGCACAUAUUAAACACAUAGAAAUGUCAUAUAACUAUGCAACAUAAUUAAGCAAUCACACAUGCAGAAAGGAGUACACACAUUUGCACAUGCAAUAACUAGAUUUACUCUUAAUAAACCUCACUAUGAUUAUCACUCGACCUUAUAGCCACAUUUACCUCACCUCUCAUCUUACCCUUCUGCUUAUUCCCUUUUUUGGGAUAAUCUCUCACAAAGUGUUUAGACUUACCAAAGCUGUAACAUUAGUUACUACUAGACUUAUCCCAACCUUUAACCUUUUUUUUUACCACCCUCAUCACUCGAGUCAUCACUUGAAUCACAACUGUCUUGAUUUCUUCCCGAAUUUAUUUGUUUAAACUUCAUUUUACUCUUCAUUAUAUAUAACUCACAACUNNNNNNNNNNNNNNNNNNNNNNNNNNNNNNNNNNNNNNNNNNNNNNNNNNNNNNNNNNNNNNNNNNNNNNNNNNNNNNNNNNNNNNNNNNNNNNNNNNNNNNNNNNNNNNNNNNNNNNNNNNNNNNNNNNNNNNNNNNNNNNNNNNNNNNNNNNNNNNNNNNNNNNNNNNNNNNNNNNNNNNNNNNNNNNNNNNNNNNNNNNNNNNNNNNNNNNNNNNNNNNNNNNNNNNNNNNNNNNNNNNNNNNNNNNNNNNNNNNNNNNNNNNNNNNNNNNNNNNNNNNNNNNNNNNNNNNNNNNNNNNNNNNNNNNNNNNNNNNNNNNNNNNNNNNNNNNNNNNNNNNNNNNNNNNNNNNNNNNNNNNNNNNNNNNNNNNNNNNNNNNNNNNNNNNNNNNNNNNNNNNNNNNNNNNNNNNNNNNNNNNNNNNNNNNNNNNNNNNNNNNNNNNNNNNNNNNNNNNNNNNNNNNNNNNNNNNNNNNNNNNNNNNNNNNNNNNNNNNNNNNNNNNNNNNNNNNNNNNNNNNNNNNNNNNNNNNNNNNNNNNNNNNNNNNNNNNNNNNNNNNNNNNNNNNNNNNNNNNNNNNNNNNNNNNNNNNNNNNNNNNNNNNNNNNNNNNNNNNNNNNNNNNNNNNNNNNNNNNNNNNNNNNNNNNNNNNNNNNNNNNNNNNNNNNNNNNNNNNNNNNNNNNNNNNNNNNNNNNNNNNNNNNNNNNNNNNNNNNNNNNNNNNNNNNNNNNNNNNNNNNNNNNNNNNNNNNNNNNNNNNNNNNNNNNNNNNNNNNNNNNNNNNNNNNNNNNNNNNNNNNNNNNNNNNNNNNNNNNNNNNNNNNNNNNNNNNNNNNNNNNNNNNNNNNNNNNNNNNNNNNNNNNNNNNNNNNNNNNNNNNNNNNNNNNNNNNNNNNNNNNNNNNNNNNNNNNNNNNNNNNNNNNNNNNNNNNNNNNNNNNNNNNNNNNNNNNNNNNNNNNNNNNNNNNNNNNNNNNNNNNNNNNNNNNNNNNNNNNNNNNNNNNNNNNNNNNNNNNNNNNNNNNNNNNNNNNNNNNNNNNNNNNNNNNNNNNNNNNNNNNNNNNNNNNNNNNNNNNNNNNNNNNNNNNNNNNNNNAAAUGACAAGAUAAUGGUGAUGAUUUGUAGGCCACAAAGGCAUGGGAAAAAUGAUGGAAAAAAGCAAGAAAAGGGACCAAAAUACACAAGAUGAAGGCACCGAUUUUCUCUCUCUAUGGGAGCCGAUUUUACAUGAAGAAGCAGCCAUGUUUUUCCUCUUUUUCAUACACAAAUCAUAUACUAAUGGCUACAGUAAAAAGUAACAUAUAUAUAGGGUUAUGUUAGGCUUUAGUUGUCCCAAUAAAGGGUUAAAUAGGUCAAGAUUCAAAGCUAUUCAGUAGAUAAUAUAUAUAGAUCGUGAGUAGCAUUAAUUUUUAAGCUACUUCCAAUUGUCCAUGUUGUUUUCGGAUCAAGCCUUUGGACUUGAUUGUUGAUAAUAAUUCACUCAUUGACCAAUGCUUAUGAAAUUGAAUCCGAUGUUUACAUUGUAGCCCUAAAUUCAUUGAGUGUCAAAAUCCAACACUCUAAAUUGUAGAAUAUGCUCUUGAGUGUAAAACAGACAAAAGUGCUAUAACUAUAUAUGAUAUAUUACAUUACUACUGUAUUCUUUUUGUUUUUAGUUUUCAACUUGAGUACAAAAAAUGAUAUUGCAAACUUGAUGGUAUACUACGCUUGGAUGAUGAGAUUCGAGUAAACAAUCAAGACUGAGCUUGUAAAAUGAAGUACUUACCCUUUGAACAAGGAGUGAGGCACUUCCUAUGUUCUCUGUAUCAAGUCAUAUGGCAAGGGAGCAGAAUGAAUAAUAUGAUAUACAAAGUUAUGUUUAGAUUACAAUAAUCUUAUCUACAUAAGAAGCAACUUAAAAACUGUUUUCUCCACUAAAGCUUCUGAACAAGUUUCUGACGCAGAAAGAAAGGGAAAAAACAAAUUGAAGCUAUGAAAAACAUACAGAAAGAAAGCAUACGAAGAAAAAUUGGGGCUUACAUAUUGUUCCUGCAAAAUUGAUGGAUCAGAAGUCUCAUUGAAGUUAUUGUAAGAAAGAUCUACGUGGCUGCAAAUGCAUUUAAUAUCUCUUUAAGAACUUAUUUCAAUCCUCUAAAAUUAAUGAAAGAAAAGAACCCAUAAAUUACAUAGUGAGAGAUGUCCACCAGUAUGUAGUAACUAAAGUAAAAAUGAGAUUGUUUUCGAACUUAUGAGACUAGUCCUGUAUCUUAAGGUGAGCUUGAACAACAAUUGUAUGUCUAGAUAUAAAGAUGUCAAUAGAGGUCCUGAGAGAAAUGGGAAAAUUCCAUUUCUGUAUAAAUUUGAGGACAUCGUCAUUUAUGAUGGACAAUGCUACUAUUAAAUCACAUAGAUAAUUUUAUAGACGUUAAAUAAUAAGAAAUAUACAAGUGAACUUACAGUUCUUCACUUAUGCUUUGGAUCCACUUUGGAAUUUGCCCACUGAGAAAGUUACUAGUCAGAAACCUAAUCACAAACAUAAAAUCCAAAUGAAAUCAAAAUUAGACAUUUAGAUUACAGGAUAGAACAUCAUGAAAGAACAGAAGUAUGGCCUAGUAGAGUAUAUGAAUGCCACUUGAACACUAAGGAUUGAAUAUGAACUGGACAUCCUUAAGUUUGGUUACAGUGGUCCUUAUUACUUGUUUUGGAAAUAAAAAGUAGGAUUUAGGAUAUGAACAUGAACAAAGUCUUCCAUUAUCACGCUUCAAUGACAGGUGAAUAACAGAGCAAAGCUUUUGUACAAAUCAAUUGAAUAAUAUCAUACUAAUUCACUUACAAGUUCGUUAGACUUGGUAGGCGAUCAAAAUCUGGAACCUCUCCUUUUAAGUUGUUAAAGCUCAGAUCUCUGUGAAUACACCACACGAACAUCUUACGACCAAACGCAUAUUUUCUCAGCUUAACAAUAUGGCAGUGCAUAGUUAUCUUAACAUAGAAAAGUAAACCUAAAUUUUGUACGAUAUCCAGAAAGAAAGAAAAAAGAUGGGCACAAAAGCAAUGGAAGCAUAGGAAAACAUACAAAAAUUACAGGAUUUUCUAAUGUAGAUUGGGAAAAACUAAUGUGGCAAGCUCUUGGAUGGUACGAAACUUCACAAUCUGAAAAUGCACAUGGUACGUCCUCCAUAUUUUUCCAUAGCCAGGUCUCCACCAGAAGUACAUAUUUUAUUACAAGGAGUAGGUUUUUGUGCAACAAAUUCGUGUUUUUGGUCACUAUCUUCAACAAGUAACAAUAUAAGUGUCAAAUAUACUCAAUGAUAAUCAAUAAUACUCGAUGUCCUUCAAUGUGAGAUGUUCUCUUAGUGUAUAAAAUUAAAAUCACAAAUAAAUAUGGUAGCUAUCAAUUAUAAUUAUUCAUUAAUGGUAACUUAUUAAAUAUGGUAGUCCUUAUAUUUCACUAACAUCCCCUCUCAAAUCUCAAAUUGAUGCUUAUUAAUUUGCAAUCAUAAGUUGAUGGUGGCGACAAUGCUCAUGCCCACGAAAAAGAUAUCCAAAUCAAAGUAAUCAUCUACGGAACAUUGUGACAAUGAGAGAGCAAGAACAAUAAAUAGUACAGAAACAUCCAAAAACUACCUCAAGAAUAUUCCAAAACCACUCUAGAGAGUUCACAGCCCAAGAAGAAUUUCAAAAAGAAAUUCAUGAAGUGUACCGAUCACACAAUGAGAUCGGGAGAACUCAGUCAAACACAUAAUUAGUAUUCCAUCAAAAUCUCUAAUGGCCAAUAUACCGGCCAAAAAUCUAGUAAUAUAUCGCUGACCAGGACGCUAUAGUAGGAAGAAAUAUCAGAAAACAGCCUGCACAAAAAAAAAAAAAAAAAAAAAAAAAAAAAAAAAACGCCCCCAAAAAAAAAAAAAAAAAAAAAAAACAAAGAUGAUCUGAGAACCCAAAAUUCUUGCUCGUCACCCAAGCAACUAAAGCUCCACCCAUGUCUCUCUCAUCCUAAUGACCCAUCAAUAUGAUUGCCAAGCUCCUUAUUGGAAGCAAAUCAAGCCACAUCCAUGUCGCCCACAAAGAGAAACCACAAUUUAUAGUCCAUUUGCUCACAACCCAUAACUACCUAGCCCAUUUUUAAUCAAGUUAUACACUCAUGUCCAAAAGCCAAGCCUACUUUCAUCAAAUCCCUAACCUAUUUACAAAGCCUAGAAUAAAAUACUGCUUAUUCAAAAUUGUUGAGGCCCAUAAUCAUCCAUUAAAGUCUUCAAAACCUAACCCAUUCAUCAAAUAAUAAUGACGCCCAAACCAAUAAAGCAGCAGGCCCACCUACAAAUCCAUGACUCAGUGUCUUUUUUUAUCCCAUUCGCUUAAGAAUCUUCAGAUCUCUGCCAAAAAUCCAUUAAUUUUACUCUCAAUAGUAACACUUCCUCUCUUUAAUCUGACAGUCUUGGAUUGAACUGAUACGCAUUUUAUGUGCAAAUUAACAUAGUUUUUUUUUUUUUUGAUAACCCAGGUGUCCCAGCUUAGUCGGACUAAAUCCUGGACUUCUAGCCCCCGGCCCCUCAGUGACUAGUGGAGGUAAAUCGCAGGUUGUGCCCUUGUUGGUUCCCAGGUUCCCACAUAGCUUUUACUCCUUCCCCAAAGGGACCCUCCUCCAUGGUUAUUACAUCACCAAGCUGCUCCAACCCUUCCUCUGGUUAUUACAUCACUUGGCUGCUCCAACCAGGAAUCGAACUCCCCACACUUGGUUCCAGAGCCCCCCAAUGUGAUUGUUCCGCCAACUUGAAUGUGCUCUGGGAGGCACAAAUUAACAUAGUUGCAUUCACAGAAGUGUGAUUGUGUGUGAGAUGGUGUGUAAAGGAUUGUAGAAAAGUAAUGGGGUCUAGGAUAAAAAUCAAAUUCCAAUAAGAAUUCUCUCUGCUUCUCAUGAUAAAGAUAUGUUGGCUGGUGCUCCACCUCAGAAUUCCCAAUUAUUGACGAGCCUCUACACCUCAGAAUUGCUAGCAUUCAACGAGCAAUAUGGUGCUCCAUGGUCGAAUAAUAGCUCUCUCUCAUCUUCAGCAAUUUCUCUGCGUUGAGAGAUCCGGCCCCUGGGUCGUCUAGUGGACUACUGGACUCGAAAAUGGUGACUGAAAUUUCCAUUUUUUCUAGAAUCAAUUGUUCCUGAAAUCCCACUACCUAUGACAGAUUGGAGGCGAUGCUUUACAUGUCAGCAACGGCAGCAAGUAUGCUUGGUUCUGUUCAGUUCAUAGCAAUUUACAUGAUCGAACACAAGGAAUAUGGAUAGGGUCCACAGCAGUGGGGGCAAACUUGUCCUAACCUUUCUCUUCCAAUUAAAUUUUCUCUCUGUAUCGCUUGAAACUCUUCGCAGAUUAAUUGCUUCACUGCUUUGGUGAAGUACUUAACUUAGUUUGGUGGUGAGCACACAAUUCAUCUUUUACCUCACUGUGAACGCCUGAGUAUCAAUAGGAGCGGCAAAACAUAUUUCUUCUGUGCUAAACAAUUAAACUAAAUAUUUCUUAGGGUUAAGUGCUCUCUCCCAAUCUUCAGGUCACUAUUGCUUUGGCUGUUCUACCUUCAGCCACUGUUGAGACGAUUGUCGAUGAUGCAAUUAGAGAGAAAGAAUAGAGAAAUCACUUGAGGAUGAAUUGAGUUCUAAUCCAUAUGAUAUUCGAAUAUACUCAAUCAUAAUCAAUAAGCCCCUCAAUAUAAGAGGUUCUCUCGUUAUAUUGAAAUAUAUAAAAACUAAAUAUUCUAGCUAUCAUUUACAAUUAUCCAUUAAUGGUAACUUAUUAAAUACGGUGGCUUCCCUUAUAUAUGAGCUUUCCUUAUAUUCCACUGACAGAAAUUUCCAAUGCCUCCCAAAUAAAUGGUUAUUUCUAGAAUGAAAGAAGAGGAAAUAAGAACUGUGGUUGUGUUAAAAGUUUAUACAAUUCUUUAACUUUAAAUCUCAUGAAAAAUUAGCUCAUCUAAAUGUGAAAAGAAAACAACUAAAAUGCCAGAGGGAGUCCAGGACUGCGAGCUGCUAGGUAUAUUCUUUUUAAGUAACUCAUAGAGUUGGCAUUUAGUCACGAGAAUAUUGAAACAAUUAUGAUGUGGAGUGUAAUUGUAAAAAGAAGAAAAGAGGUACUACUACUAGAAUCAGUACUUAGAUAGCCUUCAAUGAUCCAAUGCCUGUAAGGUAAUUAGGAAUGCUUCCAGUUAUGUUACAGCUACUUAACGUCCAGCUAGCACGCAACAUAUGUAUAAAAUAAUAUGGUUCUAAAAGAAAUUAUCACAAUCUUCUAAGUUCUUUAUUGAUUUAGUGACAUUUACUCACAAAUACGUAAGGUUUCUCAUGUCUUUUAGCAGUGGGAACUCUGAAGCACCUCCAUUCAAGUCACUAAUAAUUCUGCAGAGAUAUCACAUUACAUCAGUUGUCAUCUUCACCAUCAAUGUAUAGUAAAUGAACAUAAAAUUGUUACUGAAGUAUUGACAAACUGAAAUCUGACUGAAUAGGUUUCAACUCACAGUUCCCUUAAAUUUUUUAAGAUGGAAAUACUAGGAAGUAUGGGUCCUUCAAAACCAUUGCCUUUUAUCACUCUGUUGAAAAUAAAUUAAUAAUGUCACGUAAACAAAAGUCGCAACUGUAAAUAUUGCAGUUCGGAAAAUGCUCAUUCAGGAAAGGACUUACAAGCUCUUAAGGUUUGUCCAGCUCUGAAAAUUAGGUAAUUUUCCAGUGAAGUUGUUACUGAUUAGCCAACUGCAUUGGCCCCGAAAGACAUGUUAUCAUUAAAAUAGCAGAAAACUGUUUGCACUUUUCUAGAUUAAAAAACUUUAUACUUUGAGAAAUGUGUGGUAAAAUACUUACAGAACUAUCAACAUUUUUAGAUUAUUUAAUUCAAUCGGCAACUCACUAGUGAGAUUGUUAUCAUAUAGAUAGCUGCAUUGACCAAAAAGACAAGUUAAACUUACAUAAAUGGGUAAAUUACAGCCACUGUCUCUAACCUUUUGUUGGAGUAAUUUUCAAAAGAAUGCCAUUUAGACAUUGGUAAAUUAAAUCAAGGAAAUACAAUUCAAAAAGUACUUGAUCAAGAUGGGACAAGAACGAGAGACGUAGGAAUGGACAAAAACUUGAGCCAGUUUGCAAAGUAAACUAGUGUAGGUGGGCAACAUGGAAGUGCUCCUGUGCUUCCUAGUUGGCGCAGGUGUGCUGCCAUGUUGCCCACCUACACUAGUUUGCUUGGUUGGCGUAGAUACGCUGCCUGUGCUGGGCAGUCUUGAGAUUAACCCAGUAGCUUUUAGAACUUACUUCUUAGAGAAAGUAAGGAGCAAAAAUGAAUAGGAAAGUUUCUGUGUAUUGAAGAUAAAAGUCACGCUAAUUGUACGUCAUGUGGUUCUUAAAUAUGAAUGGAAAAUACAGCACUAAUUACAGUUGUUUACAGCUGCACACUAACUGAAAAUUUCAACUAAUCUGACUAAUUCUUCAGCUCACUUUCACGUCAGCUUCUUCUGGUAAUCUCAAUAGCCCCCUUCAAGGUGGAGUGUAUAUGUUGCACAUAUUCAUCUUGCGCAGUAGAGAAUGAAAUAGAGAUGCUCCCACUGGUUUUGUCAUAAUAUCUGCUAGUUGAUUACCUAAAGAGACAUGCAUGGUGUGUAAAAUUCCAGCCUUAAUCUUGUCCCUUACUAAGUGACAAUCUCGUUCGAUAUGUUUUAUUAUCUCAUGAAAUAUAGGGUUGACAGCAAUGUGUAAUGCAGCUUGAUUAUCACAAUAUAACAAUGCAGACUUCUCAUGUUUGAUUCCCAAGUCAGCUAGUAGGUAUAAAAGCCAUUGAACUUCGCAUGUAGCAAAUGCCAUAGCACGGUAUUCAGCUUCUGCUGAAGAUUUGGAAACUGUACUUUGCUUCUUAGACUUCUAGGAUAUUAAAGCAUUUCCUGAAAAGGAACAAUAUCUAGUUAUUGACCUCCUUAAAUCAGGGCAACUUGCCAAUCUGAAUAUGAAAAGAUCUUCAAUCAUAAGUCAUUUUCUUUAGGGAAGAAAAUCCUCUGUCCUGUCAUGCUCUUGAUAUAUCUCAAUACCCUAUAAGCUGCAUUCAAAUGAGGUUCCCUUGGUUGGUUUAUAAACUGACUUAACACUUGAACCACAUAACUCAAAUCAGGCCUAGUAAUGGUUAAGUAUAAUAAUCGUCCCACCAGCCUCUUGUAGAUUGAUGCAUCAUUCAAUAAUUCUCCACUCUCUUUGUCCAGUUUAAUGUUCAGCUCCGUUGGUGUGUUUGCCGGUUUAGCACUACUGAAGCCAGCAUCUUCUAAAAUGUCUAUGGCAAAUAUUUUUUGGCACAAAGAAAUUCCUUUCUUAUACCGAGUCACCUCCAGUCCUAGGAUAUAUUUCAAUGCUCCUAGAUCCUUUAUCUUGAAUUUCAUAUCAAGAGAAGCCUUCAAAUCAUUCAUGCCUUGCAAAUCAUUUCCUGUCAAGACAAUGUCAUCCACAUAUAUUAGAAGAGCAGCAAAAGAGCCAUUUCUAUUUCUGGUAAAGAGUGGAAAAUCUGAGAACUUAGUGAACCAUUGCCUUGAGGCUUUUUUUAAGCUGUAUAAAGACUUGUUGAGCCAGCAUACCAUAUUGUGCCCUUUGCCAAAUUUUCAUGUAUAUUUUCUCAUUCAAAUCACCGUGUAAAAAAACAUUGUUGACAUCCAAUUGUAAGAUAUUCCAAUCCAUAGCAGCAGCUAUAGCCAAUAAAACUCUCACAGAUGUAAGCUUCGCCAUAAGAGAAAAAGUUUCGAGAUAAUCAAAACCUUCCUUUUGAGUAUAGCCUUUAGCCACUAAUCUGGCUUUAUACCUUUCCAGGGACCCAUCAGCUUUCAAUUUUACUUUGAAUACCCAUUUAUAGUCAAUAGGAAUUUUUCCAUGAGGCAAACUAGUGAUCGUCCAUGUGUGUUUAUCCUCAAGUGCCUUAAUUUCCUUAGUUAUUGCUUCACACCAGUUAGGGUCCUUGACAGCUUGAUCAAAAGACUGAGGCUCAGUCAUAUUUGUGAUAGUAAAAACAUAUGCUCGAUGGGAAGAUGAGAGCCUGUCAUAAGCAAGAUAAUUUGGAUAUCACAGCUGGAGCUUAAGCUUGAAAGGACUUUACUUAUGGACUGAUCAGAUCUGGUAAGAGAGUUUUGAGCCAAAUGACAAUAAUAUUGCUGAAGAUAAGAAGGGGUUUUUUAAUUCUUGUGGAUCUUCUCAGAGGAGAUGGCAAUUUGAACCAUUAAAAUUGAAAAUUGCGGUUAACUGAACUGAAUGAGGCGAAAAAACCGAACCGAUGGUGUAAUAGGACGGAUGUGGUAUUUGAUCUUAAUGAAUCGGUUUGUGGCAGUGCAGGUAUGGUAUUUAUGCAGUGGAACUGAUUACCCACUUAAAAAAUCAUUCUUUUAUUAGGAAUGACAAGGUUUACUGAGGAGGAAGUUGACAAAGAUGUACAUUUUUUUAUUUAAAUCUUAGUUAAAUCCAUUCUGGAUUAGGUAGUAUCGUUGUAUUCUCUACUUAUAUUUCUUAUUCACUAUAUAGGAAUCAAUUUUGAGUGCUGACCUAUGCUAAUAAAAGUUGUGAGAAAGAAUGAAGAUUGAAUACGAUUUAAGGUUGAAGCUUUUGAAUUAUUGAGCAUGAAUCAAAUAACUACAAUGCACAAGAAUCAAGAAUGAAUGAAAAGUUUAGUAUUGUUAUAUUCAUAAUAUUGUUUGUUAAAUUUGUAUUUUGCAAUUAGAAUUUGGGAUAAUGUUUGCAUUUUUGUUUGAAAUAUUGUGUUUUUAUUUUCAUUGGCUCUCUUUUCAUAAAUUGUUUUAUAUCAAUUUGACGGAUGGACCUAUAUAAAAUAAUUUAUUUUCGGGGUUAUUAAUCGAACUGAACCGAUUUACAUGGUUAUGGUACGGUUAUGGUAUGACAAAAAAUUUGACGGUUCAGUGAUGGUUUUGGCCGAACCAAAUCGAAACCUAACCGUUGCCAUCCUUACUGGUAGAAGGAUAGUGGUAUUUUGGAGAUCUGGUGAUUGGUGAUCUGGUAAAGUAUACGGUGAAAUAGUUUCAGCUAUAGAAGACACAUGGAAAGGAAAUAUGGGAAAUGAAGACUCUGGAAUUGGAUUGGGUAAAACAAAUGGACAUCCCUACUGGUGGAAGGAUAGUGGUAUUUUGGAAAUCUGGUGAUUGGUGAUCUGGUAAAGUACAUGGUGAAACAUUUUCAGCUAUAGGAGACACAUGGGAAGGAAAUAUGGGAAAGGAAGACUCUGGAAUUGGAUCGGGUAAAACAAAUGGAUUAUUAUGAUUUAAAGGAAAUUGUUUGAAUGGAAAGAUGUUUUCAUAGAAUAUGACAUUUCUUGAAAUGAAGGCAUCCUGAAUUUGAAGAUCUAGGAGUUUAUAGCCUUUGAUAGAAUAUGGAUAGCCAAGAAAGAUACAUUUAGUUGCUCUAGAAUCAAAUUUUGAUCGAUUUUUAGUGAGCGUGUAAGCAAAAUAUAAGCAAUUAAAAAUCCUGAAAUGAGUGUAGUCUAGUUUUUGGGAGAAAAGAACUUCAAAGGGAGAUUUUCCAUGGAGUAAGAGAGUGGGAAGUCUGUUAAAAAGGUUAAAUCCCAACCUUGAGGGCUCCCACCGCCCCACCCCUGGAGUAUCGUGAGGGAGGUAAAUCAUUGAAUAUGCCCCAGUAGGCCAGGGAACAAGAGCUUGUCGUACACUGGUGCCCACAAAGAGUCCAAUUCCAUAUCUCAGGAAUUGAAGCCUCACACUGCAGCUGCCAGCAAGGCUAAGACUACCUCACUCCUGUCCUUUGCACCACUGAGAUAUGCUAUGGGGGCAAGGGAGUGGAAAGUCUGUUGAUUAUGUAAGUGGCGGUUUGCAUACAUUCACCCCAGAAACUAAGGGGUAAAUUAGAUUGAAAACGAAUUACUCUAGCAACAUUUAAUAGAUGUUGGUGCUUUCUUUCGACUACUCUAUUUUGUUAAGGUGACUCAACACAAGUCUUUUGAUGUAUAACACCCUUAGACAUAAAAAAAUCUCUAAGGUGAAAUUCUGAACCAUUAUAUGAAUGAAUGCACUUUAUCUUGAGAUUAAAUUGCGUCUCAAUUAAAGUGAAGAAAGUUGGAACGACAGAUUGCGUUUGAUUUUUAGAAUUUAGUAAUCAAGUCCAUGUACAUCGAGUAAAGUCAUCGACAAGAGUUAGAAAGUAUUUUGAACCAUCAAUAGCAGUAGUAGAUAAAGGACCCCAUAGAUCAGCAUGUAUUAGAUCAAAUGGGGUUGAACUAUUUAUUUCACUGGAAACAUAGGGUAAUCUGUGUAAUUUAGCCGUAGGGCAAACAUCACACUGAUGUAUAGUAUUUACAUUCAAAUCUAAAAUGGUAGAUUGCAGCAUUGUAGGCGCUGCAAAGAUGGAUGCCCUAACCUAAGAUGCCACAAAUUAGAAACUGUGGAUGUUAUAGAAUUAGCAAAGUGUUUGUGUUGUGUAGGAGUGAUGUUCAGCAUAUAGAACAGGCCGUUUCUCUCUUUAGCCAGACCAAUCGUCUUCUAUAAACGUAGGUCCUGUAAAAAGCACACACCAGACAAUAAGAUGAGAUUACAUCUAACUAUUUUAAGCAAGUAACUGACUGAAAUUAGAUUGAAUGCAAAAGACGGCACGCAUAGAACAUUCUUCAAAAUGAUGAGUCUGAAAGUCUAAUUGAUCCAACAUGUGUAACCUCUGUUAAAGUACCAUUUGGAAGCUUAACAAACCGAGAUGCUGAAGCUGUGAUUUCAGUGAGUGAAUGGACUGAACACACCAUGUGAUCUGUAGCACCGGAGUCUAAAAUCCAUUUAUAAUUCAUAUUCAAAGUUUCAGGACUUUCAAAUGACUUAGAUACUGACUUACACGAAAAACAUUGACUAAAUACUGAUGCAUUGUGGAGGCAAAUAACUUUAUAUACCUGCCAGAUUUGCUAAGGCAUGCUUCUGGGAACCAGAGGUGCUUGCAUUCUGAAGGUUAAUAGUACGGGUACUUGUGAAUGGCAAAGACGUUUCAUCGAUAGGUUAAAUCAAAGCCAGCAGCUAUUCAUAUUGAUCUUUAGUGAAGGGGAAUUGUGAAAGAUCAGUGGUGAUAUUAGGAACAAAUUCUACUUGAUUUGUAACUCCAUGGACCACAGGAUUCUUGUUCUUGAACUUAUAUCUUGGUGGAUAUCCGUGCACUUUGUAGCAUUUGUCAAUUUUGUGGCCAAGAAGACCAUGGUGGCUGCACUGAGGACACUCCUUUUUAUUGUUCAGUCCAGUGUAGUUGUUUAUUCCCUCGUUAGUAUAUUGAUUCCUAUUGAAAUUUUUAGCUACCAUAGCUACGGAAUCUAGAUUAUGUGUGAUUCUAGCAGUUAUUUCUCUUUGCUUUUCCUCUUGUACAACUAGAGAGAAAACUUUGUUAAUUGCUGGUAAUGGAUCAAUCAAUAGUAUUUGACCUCGAAUCUGAGAGUAACUCUCAUUCAGCCCCAUCAGAAAUUACAUGAUAUAAUCCUCCUGCUGAAACUUCAUCAAGGAGGCUAGAACACGUCUAUAACGUCCAAGUUCAUCCCAAAAGCGUCUUCAGUUUGGUGAAUUAGGCACUUACUGAACACUGAUUUUGUGUUAAAGAGGCGAUCCCCUUCCUCAGUUGAAAGAUACGAGGUCCAUUUGUUUUUGAAAACCUCUUUAAGAUCAGACCAAAUACCAGCAGCAGUAUCAAAAUAGAGGACACUAGCUACAAUUUCUUUACUAAUAGAGUUUAGAAGCCAUGAAAUAACCAUAUGAUUGCACCUCUUCCAAGCUGGAUAGAUCGGAUCACUUUCAUCAGGCUUGCUCAGAGACUCGUCAAUGAAACACAGCUUAUUUUUGGCACUUAGAGCCAUUUCAAUGGAUGACUCCAUGAUGCAUAGUUGUCUUUGUUCAGCUACUGAGAGACAAUCAAGGCACCAGUGUUGGGCCUUCCCUCCACUUUGAGGGACUUGGCUUUUUUUAGCCAAUUUGGGCUCAAGCAUUUAAUGGCCCAUUUGUUUGGUCCAAACUAAAACAUACAAAUAUAGAUAGGGAGAAAACGGGGCAGAAUUAAUACAUUCCAAAAGGGGAAAGCCAAUUUCAUUUCUGGAGCAGAGAGUUACGCGAGAGAAAGAGUCCGACAUUUCAACUCUUCUUGCCAAAGGAUCGAGGCUCGUUUGUAGUCCGAUUUUCUUGAUAUUUCAGUAUGUUAUUCUUGGCAAAGAUACCUACAUUUUGACCGGAGCUGAUCGUCGAAAUUCUUCUCCAUUCCUCUGGGCUAUACACACUUGUCUAGUGAGAUUUUCUCCUUAUUAUUGUGUGUAUUUAUUUUGGAUGAUGUUGUUGUUGAUAUCCAAGAACUACAUGUGUUCUUGAUGUAUUUGGUAGCCUCUAGAGUUUACUUUGGAGAGGGUUAAAUUGUGUAUCCCAUUAUUCAUAUAGUGGAAGGCUUUACUGGACUAGGUCCCGGGAUUUUACCUUCACGUUGAAGGGUUUCCCUAGUGAACAAAUAUUGGUGUUGUUAUCUUUACAUUUCUGCCAGUGUGUGUGAGUUGGAGCCGGUGUUAUUUUACUGCCAUUUUAAUUCUACAUAAUAGGGGGAUUGUGUAAUUGUAUUCCGCUGCGUGGUUGUGUUAUUGGUUCAAUCCCUAACAAAGUGGUAUCAGAGCUUUGGUUAAGCCUCUGUGAUUAUUGUGAGAAUUAAAAUGGAGGAUUCAGCUAGUGGCACGGUUAAACUCACAUCUUCAAAUUAUUCUAUUUGGAAGACUAGGAUGGAGGAUAUUUUGUAUUGCAAAGAUUUGUUCGAUCCCAUUGAAUUGAAUGGCAAGCAACCUGAUUCUAAAACUGAUGAGGAUUGGAAGAAAUUGAAUAGAAAGGCCGUUGGACAAAUUAGGCAGUGGGUUGAUCAGAGUGUCUUCCAUCAUAUAGCUAAAGAAGUAGAUGCAUACAGUCUUUGGCAGAAAUUGGAAGGUCUUUAUGAAAGAAAGACGGCACAGAAUAAGGCCUUUGUGAUAAGAAGGCUUGUGAAUUUAAAAUACAGGGAUGGUAAUAGUGUUGCAGAGCACUUGAGCAGCUUUUAAGAGUUAUUGAAUGAGUUGACUACCAUGAAGCUUACACUAGAUGGUGAGGUACAGGCUUUACUUCUAUUGAGUUCAUUACCUGAUAGUUGGGAAACUUUAGUUGUCUCUCUGAGUAAUUCAGCUCCGAAUGGCGUGAUCACUGUCAACAUGGUGAAAGACAGUAUGUUUAAUGAAGAAGCCAGAAGAAAGGAGCAAGGUGCUUCUUCUAACUCUGAAGCACUUGUUACAGAAAGAAGGGGGAGAAACCAGAGCAGAAAACCUUAUGGUGAUGACAGUCAUGACAAGUCUAGAAGAAGAUCAAAGUCAAGAAAAGGGAUAAAAUGUUAUCAUUGUGGCAAUCUGGGGCAUCUUAAAAAGGAGUGCAGAAAAUGGAAAAGAGAACAGUUAAAAUUGAAAGGUGAAGAACAGAAAGAACAAAAAGAGACUGCAGUAGUUGCAUCUGAUGCAGAGGUAUUUGUUGCUUGUGAUGAAGCAUUUGCUAGCCUUUCAUUGCAGGAUUCUACAUGGAUAGUUGAUACAGGAGCCUCUGUUCAUAUUACUCCACGUAGGGAUUUCUUUUCAUCCUAUACCAGUGGUGAUUUUGGUUGGAUCAGGAUGGGAAAUGAAGCUAAAGCAAGAAUUAUUGGUAUGGGGGAUGUACAGUUGGAAACUAGCAUUGGUAGCAAGUUAUUUAUCAGGGGUGUCAAACAUGUUCCUGAUAUGCGUUGCAACUUGAUUUCUGUUGGAAAGCUUGAUGAAGAAGGCUAUCACAAUCACCUUGGAGAUGGUUCUUGGAAACUUACAAAGGGUUCUCUUGUUUUAGCCAGAGGGAAGAAGACUAAUGUUCUCUACAAAAUAGAAGCAAAACUAAUUCAUGGAAAUGUGAAUAUUGCUGAAAAUGAAGCCUCUACUGAGCUAUGGCAUAAGCGGCUUGGCCACAUGAGUGAAAAGGGACUUCAAAUUCUCUCCAGAAAGAAGCUCCUACACAAUAUGAAAGGUACAUCACUAAUCCCUUGUACUCAUUGCUUAGUUGGUAAGCAAACUAGAGUUGCAUUUCAUAGAUUCCCUGCAUCUAGAAAGACUCAUAUUCUUGAUUUAGUGCAUACUGAUGUUUGCAUGAUGCAAAGUAAAUCUCUAGGUGGUGCAUUGUAUUAUGUUACAUUUAUUGAUGAUCACUCUAGAAAAGUGUUUGCAUAUUCUUUGAAAUCUAAAGAUCAGGUGUUGGAAGUAUUUAAAGACUUUCAUUUGAAAGUUGAAAGAGAAACUGGAAGGCAGUUAAAAUGUGUCAGAGCAGAUAAUGGUGGUGAAUACAGAGGGCCAUUUGAAGAGUACUGCAGAAGACAUGGCAAGAAAACUGUUCCAAAGACCCCACAACAAAAUGGGGUGGCAGAAAGAAUGAACAGGACUAUUUGUGAGAAGAUCAGAUGUAUGCUCUCUCAUGCAAAACUGCCUAAGCACUUCUGGGCUGAGGCAAUGAGGACAACAGUUGACUUGAUUAAUCUUUCUCCAUCAGUUCCUUUGAAUGGUGAUGUUCCACAGAGCUUUUGGACAGAAAAAGAUCUAUCUCUUGAUCACUUGAGAGUUUUUGGCUGUCGGGUAUCUGUUCAUAUUCCUAAAGAUGAAAGGUCCAAACUGGAUAGCAAAGCAAAACAGUGUAUCUUCUUGGGUUAUGCACAUGAAGAAUUUGGGUACAGAUUGUGGGAUCCAGUGAACAAAAAGAUUAUCAGAAGCAGAGAUGUUGUAUUCUUUGAAAAUGAAACCAUUGAAGAUUUGGAUCAGACUAAGAAGCCAAAUACAGUCAAUGAAGAACAAAUCAGUUCAGUUUCACAUAUACCACUACCAGAUCCUGUGGUACAUGAUGAUCACAGAGAAAAUGUGCAAGAAGAACAUGACACUAUAGGAGACAGACUUGAUGAAGCCUCUACACAGGGUAAUGCAGAACCAGAUCAAAUUCAAGAGAAUGUUCCUCUUGAGGUGUUAGCUGAAGAGGGGUUAAGAAGAUCUACUAGAGAGUGCCAGCCUUCUAAAAAAUACUCUAGUAAUGAAUAUGUGUUACUUUCUGAUGGGGGAGAGCCAGAAAGUUAUCAGGAGGUUCUGUUACAUGAUCAGAAAAAUGAGUGGUUAAAAGCUAUGCAAGAAGAGAUGAAAUCUUUGCAUAAGAAUAACACCUAUGAUCUAGUACAGUUGCCUAAGGGCAAGAGAGCACUGGAGAACAAAUGGGUGCUUAGACUAAAAGUUGAACCACAUAGCUUGCAGCCAAGGUACAAGGCAAGGUUGGUUGUGAAGGGGUUUGGUCAGAAGAAAGGUAUUGAUUUUGAAGAAAUCUUCUCACCUGUGGUUAAAAUGUCUUCAAUCCGAGUUGUGUUAGGCUUGGCAGCCAGUGUGAAUCUAGAGAUUGAACAACUUGAUGUGAAGACCGCUUUCCUUCAUGGUGACCUUGAAGAGGAAAUAUACAUGGAGCAGCCAGAAGGAUUUACAGCUAAAGGUAAAGAAAAUCUUGUAUGUCGGUUGAAGAAAAGCUUGUAUGACCUCAAGCAGGCACCGAGACAAUGGUACAAGAAAUUUGAUUUCUUCAUGGUUGAGCAUGGGUACACCAGAACAACUUCUGAUCAUUGUGUGUUCAUGAAGAAAUUCUCUGAUGGGGAAUUUAUUAUCCUCUUGUUAUAUGUAGACGACAUGUUGAUUGUCAGUCGUGACACUGGAAAAAUUAAGAAGUUGAAAAAUGAGUUGAGCAAGUCCUUUGAAAUGAAGGAUUUAGGACUUGCAAAUCAAAUCCUCGGUAUGAAAAUCUCUCGUGACAGGAAGAAUGGGAGAUUAUGGUUAUCACAGGAAAGUUAUAUCGAGAGGGUAUUACACAGGUUCAAUAUGGACAAGGCAACACCAGUUAGCUCUCCACUUGCAAGUCAUUUGAAAUUGAGUUCAAAACAAAGUCCUUCAAGUGAAAAUGAAAAUGAAGAAAUGAAGAAUGUGCCUUAUGCAUCAGCUGUGGGUAGCUUGAUGUAUGCUAUGGUAUGCACAAGGCCAGACAUUGCUCAUUCUGUUGGAGUUGUCAGUAGAUUUCUUUCUAAUCCUGGAAAAGAACACUGGGCAGCAGUGAAAUGGAUUCUCAGAUAUCUUAGGGGGACUUCUAAGAUGUGUUUAUCUUUUGGCACCAGCAAACCCGAGCUUGUUGGGUUCACAGAUGCAGAUAUGGCUGGUGAUAUAGACUCUAGAAAGUCUACCUCUGGGUAUUUGAUCACUUUCUCAGGGGGAGCAGUUUCAUGGCAGUCUAGACUACAGAAAUGUGUUGCUCUAUCCACCACUGAGGCUGAGUACAUAGCCAUCACUGAAGCUAGCAAGGAAUUGCUAUGGAUGAAGAAGUUCUUACAAGAACUAGGCCUAGAGCAAGAGAAGUAUAUACUCUAUUGUGACAGUCAGAGUGCCAUCCAUCUCAGUAAGAAUCCAACUUUCCACUCAAGAUCCAAACAUAUUGAAGUGAGGUAUCAUUGGAUUCGAGAUGCACUAGAGAUGAAGAAGUUAGAGCUUGAAAAAAUCCAUACUGAUGAGAAUGGUUCAGAUAUGAUGACAAAGCCAUUGCCUAUGGAGAAACUACAAGUAUGUAGAAGGGAAGCAGGCUUGGUGGAGUCCCUCACGUAGUCGGGAGGGGGAGUAGUGUUGGGCCUUCCCUCCACUUUGAGGGACUUGGCUUUCUUUAGCCAAUUUGGGCUCAAGCAUUUAAUGGCCCAUUUGUUUGGUCCAAACUAAAACAUACAAAUAUAGAUAGGGAGAAAACGGGGCAGAAUUAAUACAUUCCAAAAGGGGAAAGCCAAUUUCAUUUCUGGAGCAGAGAGUUACGCGAGAGAAAGAGUCCGACAUUUCAGCUCUUCUUGCCAAAGGAUCGAGGCUCGUUUGUAGUCCGAUUUUCUUGAUAUUUCAGUAUGUUAUUCUUGGCAAAGAUACCUACAUUUUGACUGGAGCUGAUCGUCGAAAUUCUUCUCCGUUCCUCUGGGCUAUACACACUUGUCUAGUGAGAUUUUCUCCUUAUUAUUGUGUGUAUUUAUUUUGGAUGAUGUUGUUGUUGAUAUCCAAGAACUACAUGUGUUCUUGAUGUAUUUGGUAGCCUCUAGAGUUUACUUUGGAGAGGGUUAAAUUGUGUAUCCCAUUAUUCAUAUAGUGGAAGGCUUUACUGGACUAGGUCUCGGGGUUUUACCUUCACGUUGAAGGGUUUCCCUAGUGAACAAAUAUUGGUGUUGUUAUCUUUACAUUUCUGCCAGUGUGUGUGAGUUGGAGCCGGUGUUAUUUUACUGCCAUUUUAAUUCUACAUAAUAGGGGGAUUGUGUAAUUGUAUUCCGCUGCGUGGUUGUGUUAUUGGUUCAAUCCCCAACAACCAGGACUAUCUCCAUGAUGCAGAAAAAAUGGACUAAGGACAUCCUCCGUUUUCACUGCAGAUGCAGGAAUCGAAACAUGAGGCUCAGAAAUUAAGGAUUUAGGAGCUGAAGCGGAAGUAUCAUUAUGCUCUGAUACCAUCUUGAGAUUAAGCCAGAAGCUGUAAGAACUUACUUCUUAGAGAACAGAAGGAGUAAAAAUGAAUAGGAAAUUUUUUGUGUAUUGAAGAUAAAAGUCACGAUAAUUGUACAUCAUGUGGUCUUUAAAUAUGAAUGGAAAAAUACAGCACUAAUUACAGUUGUUUACAGCUGUACACUAACUGAAAAUUUCACUAAUCUAACUAAUUCUUUAGCUUACUUCCACGUUAGCUUCUUCUGGUAGUUUCUUCUGGUAAUCUCAACAGGCAGCACACUGCAUGGCAGUAAUAUAUAUGAAAUUGAAAUUAGUUUGUACUCUACAAUUUUCUAUACUUUUUAACAUCCAAAAUACCAACUCUUGUGUAUUCAUUUCUUCUUAAAUAUUGUUUGUACUUCGUGAUCAUAAUGCAGAGAUAAAGUACGAACUGCGAUAUAGACUUCAAAUUCUUCGACGUCCAGGUUUUCUUCAUGGAUACACAACACAAACAACACUAAAAGGCUUCAUUUUAUCCUGGAGGCAUAUUUGCAUUCCCUUGUGAAUCAAAGAUUUGUAGGGACAAAUAACAUCUUGAGGGAAGUGAUAUUAUUUUAAGUUCGAGUUUCUGCCAUAAUCCAACUUCUAGUCGUCUACUUAUCAUCUCAAGAUUAAUCCCAUCAACAAUCUUCAGACAUAAUUUCAAGUUUUCUAUGGCACGUCCAAUGUUUUAGUUAUGAGAUUUUGCAGCAGACUUUGUCAAAUUGGAAAGGUUUGAAGAUUCAAAUUUUCGAAUAUGGCAAAAAAAACUUCACUUCCUUCUCACAAUCCUCAACGUGGUGUAAUAGCUUACAACUCCAAAGCCAGAAGAGACAAAAAAUGAACCAUUGGAGAUACAAGACCUAGACAAAAAUGAGAUCAAGAUGAUUACAUAUGCGAGGGUCACAUUUAACAUGCAAUGUCUCAUAAUUCUCUUUUUGAUCAGUACCACAAGAAGAAAAUCGCCAAGGAAAUAUGGGAAGCAUUGGAAGCCAAAUGCAUGUUGGAGGAUAUUACAAGUAAGAAAUUAAUUGUAUCUAAUUCUUUCAAUAUCGAAUGGUGGACAACGUGAAGAUAAUUGAGCAAUUUCAUAAAACCACUCAUAUACAUAACCAAUUUCUUCAAUACCACAUCAAUAUGGAUGUGUCCAUUGACAAACUACCUGCAUCUUGGAAAGAUUAUAAUAGAAGUCUAAAACACCAUAAAUAAGAUAUCCCUAUUGAAGUAUUGGGUCGUAAUCUCUGAAUGGAGAAAGAGUUCAAAAUGAUUAAUUUUUUAGGAGCAUAGUGUCCAAUCUUCUAAAGUUCAUGUGGUUCAGGAUAAGGAAGGAUCGAUGAAACGAAGAUGAUGCAAAUUAACAAAACACCAAAAACAACAUGAAGAGGAAGCACGAUUCAAAAGACGAGGGUUCCAAGAAACAGAGUAGGUCUUGUUACAAUUGUAGCAAAAUGAGAAAGUGUCGCCAUUUGAAGAAGCAAGAUGACAUGGAUAACUUUGUAAUUUGAAUUUGUUUUAAGUAUGCUUUCAAGUUUGUUUUGAGAUUUUUGAAUAUGUAUUGCCAAAGAGUGGUAUUUUUUGGAAAAAUAUUUUUGUUUGUGUACGUGUUUAUAAUUAAAUAAUUAUUGCUAUAGGUUGAUUUAUUAUUUGAUUUCAUAUUUGCUUACGAGAUGCUUGAAGAUUACUUUGAUAUAAAUACGUUAGAAUAAGUAACUUGCUAUUAUAUUGAGCUAGUAUCAUAUGUAUUUUCUAAUUUAUUAUUAUUAUUUUUAAUGACGGGGAACCCGCAGUCGCAAACCACGCCAGCCUGGUACACCACACUAGACAAGCCCUGUGCGACAGGCUCAACUGAGAAAGUAUUAGUAGAGAGAAUCGAACUCGUGACCAAAUACCACCGCGCUCACCUACUCCACUACUCUGCCACCCAAUGAGGGGCAUGUAUUUUCUAAUUAUUAUCAUGAAUGUUUGCUAUAGUUAAUAAGGAAAUUUAAAGAUAUUUUUUUGUCAAGUUACUUGUAAUAAUAUAUAUAUAUAAAAGGCAAAUUUUGAAAUAAGCUUCUAUACUUUUAAACAUGAAAUUAGUUUUGUGCUUAACUAGUAUACCAUAUAAUCUUCAUAUGAUAUAACAUCGAAUUGUUUAACAUAAGUGUCAGUAUAUAUCUUCCGCAAAGGCUUCGUUUUUGGAAAAGGAACUAGCAAAAUAAAUCCAUUGGUUUGGGACCUAGUUGAUCUUCAAUGAAGUGUAAAACUCGAGUCCAAUAAAGUAAAGGAAAUUAAAUGGAUUGAUUAAUUCAAAGGUGUUGCAAAUCUCUGUUCUUCUAUUAAAAGAAUAAAAUAUUGAUUUGUCAAUUAAGUGAUUAAAUGUCCUUAUUAUAAUUGACAAAGUAGAUAUGACUUAACUAAAUGAUCUUGGUUUAAGUAAUUGAUUAUACAAGAUCAACGGAUUGAAUUAGUCUAUGACUAUGGCAUGUUAAAAUUUACAUAAGGCCUUGACUCGUUAAAUGUCACGGGAUUGAGACGGGAAAUACAACUAAUCACCAAUGAUGAAAAGUCGAUCUAACACUUGAAACAUCAAGUUCUUAGGUUCAAAGAGUAAAGUAUUUCAAAUAGGUGAUCACAGGAAAUAUUCAUUUUUUCCCAUGUAAGUGUGCUUAGUACACUUAACAAUAAGGGAAAAGAUCAGUUAUUGAGCUUUUAAUAGAUUUAAAAAAAGGUUGAACCCCAACCUUGAGGACCCCUACUGUCCCGUCCAUGGAGCAUCGUGAGGGAGGAAAAUCGCAGGAUAUGCCCCAGCAGGCCAGAGAACAAGAGAUUAUCCAUAUACUGGUGCCUACAAAAAGCCUAAUUUCAUAUCUCAGGAAUCGAACCCUCACACUGCGGUUGCCAGCAAGGCUGAGACUACCUCACUUCUGUACUUUGCACUACUGGGUUAUGCCCCCGAAGGGCACUUUUAAUAGAUUUAUAUAGAAUACUCUAGUUACGUUAGUAUUAUUGAUAAGUGUCAGAAUUUGGGUGUGAUCCAAUUUUUUUUUUUCAAAGAUAAUUGUGAGUUCUAAUUAAAGUGCACAUUAAGAAUAAUCCUUUUUGGAGUGCUAUUAUGCAAUUCUAUUCAAGUUUACUCGACGAAUUCUAGUUGAAGUUUUACUUAGAAGUCCAAUUGGGAGUUUAAAUUUGUAUUGGACUUAAAUAGGAUAUUGGGAUGAAGAAAAUCAAGUUUUUGAAGUAAAGGACUGGAGAAUGGGCAUCGCAAUGCCAAGAAGUUUUUGGUUCGGCGUCGAGGCGCACAUUGUCUGUUUCUCCCUAAGCGAUUUUUUCCUACUCUACUCCAUUUUGGACUCUCUCUUUUUUGCAUUCAACUUCAACUACAACUCUACUAUUAGGGUUUGGACAUUCACUACUAGUUAAAUAUAUAGUUGGCUCUUCAUUAUGACUUAGAAGAAGUUAUAAACAUCGUAAACACAAAUUUUUGUAUUCUUUCUCCAUAUUUCCAUUCUUUGCAAAUUAUUUUGUUUUUGCGUUAUAUUAAUCAAUUAUUUCAUAUUAUGGCUAUAAUAUCUUAUUUUUCUCCAACAAUUUGGUAUAAAAUUAAUCCGGAUUAUUUUCAUUUCACAAUAAACGGGUAUCAGAGUGUUUGGUGUUUAAAUUCUUGGGAAUAUUGAGGUUUUGAUCAAGUUAAUAGCUCAACUUGAUCUUUCAUCAUGGAAACAAUGAAGUAUGAUAUUCUGCUAUUAAAUCGCAAUACAAGAUUAUCUUUAUGACAAAUAAAGAUGGGAGCAGUAAUCGGUCAGAUGGAUUCGGAUGACGAAAGUUAUUAGAAUUUGACAAGAUGCCUACAACUUGAACUCCAGAGGAGAAACAACAGAUGGACCGAAAGAUCCUAUCUUAUAUACAACUUCAUCUUUCAAAUAUUAUUCUUUGGGAUGUUUUGAAGGAGAAGUUAGCUACUGCAUUAUUGUUAAAAUCAGAACAAUUAUGCAUGACGAAAAGUCCUAUUAGCAAAUUGCAUUUGAAGCAACGUAUAUAUUCUCAUCAUAAGACAGAAGGUAUAUUUAUUGAGGAUCACCUAGCUAUUUUUAAGGAAAUCAUCGCUAAUUUGGAGACCUUGGAAGUCAAAUAUAAUGAAGAAAAUUUGUGAUUGAUUUUAUUGUGUUCAUUGUCCACUUCAUACAUGUCUUUUAGAGACACAAUUUUAUAUAAUUGUGAUAUUCUGACCAUCAAAGAACUCUAUGAUGUUCUAUAUUCAGAGGAGAAGAUGAAGUAUCUUGUUGCAUUUGAGAGUCUUUGAGAUGGCUUCAUUGUUGAUGGUGGUCAUUCAAAGGAUAAGUCAAAAAUCUAACUUCAAAUUUUAUAAUUAUUACAAAAAAGGGGGGCACUAGAUAAAUGAUUGUUACAAGUUGUAGAAUAAAUCAAAAUUGACUACAAAUAAACAAUCAGAAAUUUUAGGAAAAACAAGUAUUGCAAAAAAAAUCCUAACAAUGAUGGAGAGCUUUUACUUAUGUCCAACUACAACUCCAAAUUUGACGAGGCUUGGAUUUUUUAUGCUGCUUGCACUUUUUAUAUGACUCCUAAUCGAGAUUUAUUCUCAACAUAUGAAGAAGUUUUAAAAGGUAUUGUAAUGAUAGGUAAUAAUACACAUUGUCAAAUAGCUUGUAUUUGUCGAAUUAAAAUAAAGAUGUUUGAUGGGAAGGUUAGAACACUUAAUGCAGUGAGUGCGUUCCAGAUUUGAAGAAAAAUCUUAUCUCCUCAAGUACUUUUGAUUCAAAAGAGUACAGUUAUAUUGUUAAAGGUGGAGUCCUGAAAGUUAGUAAAUCAACAUGUGUUUUGUUAAAGGGAUAUAGAAAAUUCCAUUUAUAUAUCUUGCAGUGUUAUAAAGAAUUUUUGAGCAAUCAGCAUAUUUUAAGAACUCAAGUGGAUUUGGAGUUGGAUUCUAUAUUGUUGGAGCCUAAUUUUAGGGAUUUUUAUUUUUAUUUAUUAUUAUUUAUUUUUUUUUUGUAAAAAAGAAUACAUCUCAGUAAAUUUAGAAGUUAUAGGUAAAUCCGCCUUACCACCAUCAUCGAUGGUGUCAUUGUAUUUAGUUGCUUGUAAUAAACCUAUUUUUGGCCAUAAUAUUUCACAUAGAUACAAUUAUGCUGAUUUAGUUGAUAGUUUGAAUGUGAUUAAAGGUGUUGAUUCUAGCCAAGAUCCUUCUUUUAAUGUAUUCAGUUGUAAUUCUAUUAUAGGGCUUGUUUCAACUUUGUUUGGUGGUCAUUAGAUCACUUUUUCCUUUAAUUGAGGUAGUAGAGGUGGAGAAUAUUUUGGUUGAAUUUUUUUAUGGAUAAGUUCGUUUGUGUCCUUUAGUGAAGAUUUCAAGUUUUUUCCAUGUAGUGGAAUUUGUCUUCAAGUGGAGAAUUUUUUCUUUUGAAGUUUUAUUCAUUUUAGUGGAAUUCGUGUCAAGGUAGAGAUUGUUAGAAUUUGGUUGUGACCCGAAUUCUUUGUUGAAGAUAAUUGAAAGUUCUAAUUAAAGUGCACAUUAGGAAAAAUUCUAUUUGGACUGUUAUUGUGGAAUUCUAUUCAAGUUUACUUGGCGAGUUCUAGUUGAAGUUCUACUUGGUAGCCCAUUAGGAAUUGAAAUUUGUGUUAAACUUGAAUAGAAUAUUGUGAUGAAGAAAAUCAAGUUUUUGAGGUAAAGGACCUGAGAGUGGGAGCCACAGCACCACGACGCUACCUACUCUGUUUCGUCCAGUGUGAUUUUUCUUUCUCUACUCCAUUUUGCAUUCUACUUCAACCACAACUCUACUAUUAGGUUUUGAACGUGCCCCUAUUUAUUCUUUAUAUAUAGUUAGCUUUUCAUUAUGAUUUAGAAGAAGUUAGAAACAUUGUAAACACAAAUCUUUGUAUUAUUUUUUCAUAUUAUAAUAAAAUUUCCAUUCUCUACAAAUUAUUUUGUUCUUGUGAUUAAUUACUUCAUAUUAUGGCUACAAUCUCUUAUUUUCCCCAACAGUUUGGUAUUGGAUUAAUCCGGUAUCAUCUUCGUUUGAUAACAAUAAGUCUAUCUCCAUGAGCGUCGAUGAUGGUUUAUCUCCAAAGUGUCUCGACUCGCUACUUAAGACAUUCUUGAAAAUUAAGGAUAUGGGACACGUGGAGUAUUCACAUGUUGAUUUAUAUGAACACGGGAGGAUAUGAAACUUGUAUAUGAAGUUUUUCGCUUAGCCAUAUAGGGUUUUUGGUUCAAAGCUUGUCUACCAUAUCGCUUUGGUUAAUAUUGUUAGAGUUGGUGACUCAAAUUGGAAAGGAAAUCUUGAAGAUGCGUGAUGGAUUUGGAGAAUCAAAUAGUAUUUGAAAAAUAAAGAAACAAAGUUCUUGUCUCGUUUUUUUUCCUUUUCACGUUUAACCUAGAAUUCUUACCUUUUUAUGACUCUUUUAGUGCUACACUCUUGUGGUAUAAAUAUGAGUCUCAUCUUUUAGUAUUGUUGAAACAUCAUUACUAUCCAGUUGUAAUUCUCUCCAUAUUAAUAAAAUUCGUCGUUCCUAUGCUUAAUUCAUCUUUUACUUUAAUCUUGUUCGUGGUAUUUUGCAAUCUUGUAUUAUACUUCAAAUUGGUGUCCAUUAAAUCUCAAUUCUUGCGUUUCAUUUCCACCCGGUCCCAACAAGUGAUAUCAGAGCGAGGUUGUUGGUGGAUUUCUGGCCUGAAACUAAUCAAAAAUUGGUCUGAAAAUUACCAGAAAAUAAGAAAAUGAAUCUGUCCAGUUUUUUUCGAUUUUCUACUGGAUCUAUUUGUGCAUUUUUCGAUGAAACUACUUACCUUUUGGAGAAACGAACACCACCAGUGGACUCAGCAAGCAGAGACGGUCCAGAAAAGGUCACAGGUCGUCGGCGCGUUUCUGGUUAGUCGCCGGCGGUGGGAACUUUGACGAGAGAGUGGCGGGGCGUGCGGUGGUUUUCGACGAUGGUGUCUUCAGGCAGUUUUCUCCGGACGACGAGAUAGACCUUGUGGUGGUGUCCAAUUUCAGUUUUGGGCAAAAUUGUGGUUCUGGACUGUUUUGCCCCUUGUACGUUCGGAAGUUUUCAGUUUUGGAUGUUGCAAGUUGCAGGCUCUUUGUGAUUUGGUUGAGAUUUUUCAAGAAUGAAUUCGUUGAAGUAUGAAAUUCUGCUAUUGGAUCACAAUACAAGAUUUUCGCUGUGGUAAGUAAAGGUGAGAGCUGUGUUGACGCAGAUGGAUCUUGAUGAUGCUUUGCUGGGUUUUGAUAGGAUGCCAGCAAACUUGUCUAUGGAGGAGAAACAAUGAAAGGAUCGAAAGGCUUUAGCGCAAGUCCAACUUCAUUUAUCCAAUAAUUUGCUGCAAGAUGUUUUGAAGGAGAAGACAGCGGCUGCUUUGUGGCUCAAGCUGGAGCAGUUGUGCAUGACAAAGAGUUUGACGAGCAAACUGACUCUAAAGCAAAGAUUGUAUUCUCAUCGCAUGGUGGAAGGAGGGUCACUAUAGGAACACCUUGCUGUGUUCAAGGAGAUCAUUGCAGAUUUGGAGACGUUGGAGGUAAAAUAUGAUGAAGAGGAUCUAGCCUUGGUCCUGUUGUGUUCGCUACCCAAUUCUUUUUUGUCUUUUCGUGAUACUAUAUUGUAUCAUCAUGACACAUUGUCCAUUGAGGAGGUAUACGACGCCCUAUUCUCAAAAGAGAAGAUGGAGUUAUUGGUUGGAGAUCCUAAAUCUAGGAGUGGGAAUGCUCUGGUUACUCAUGUUGAUCGACGGAGGGGUAGAUCGAAGGUGAGGUACAUCAAUGUGUAAUGUUAUUACUGCAAGAGGAAAGGACACAUCAAGAAAGAUUGCGACAAGUUGCAGGGUAAAGGUGAUUUACAUGCAAAUCAUGCGAGGCAAUCAGGUAAUUCAAACGAGACUAAUAUUGCUGAAAAUUUUUGUGAUGAUGGAGAUGUGAUGUUGGCUGUAUCUAACAGGGAAUCCAAACCUGAGGAGUGGAUUUUGGAUUCUGCUUGUUCGUAUCAUAUAUGUCCCAAUAGGGCUUUGUUUCAAACAUAUGAGACGGUGAAGCAAGGUGGGGUUGUCAUGGGAAACAAUCAAUCUUGCUAGGUUGCAGGAAUCGGUCGGGUCAGAUUGAGGCUAUAGGAUAAAACAGUGAGGACACUUGAUCAGGUUCAUCAUGUUCCAAACUUGACAAAGAAUCUCAUAUCACUGAGUACCUUGGAUGAAAAAAAGUACAAAUUUUCUGGUGGAGGUAGAGUCUUGAAGGUUUGAAGGGGUGUCUGGGUUGUACUGGAGGGACGGAGGAAAUCCCAGUUGUACAUCUUGCAGGGGAGCGCAGAACCAGUUCAGAGACAUUUGGACAAGUUCAGUACCGUGGUGGACAUUCAAUUUAGUACAGUACCUCUCGGGUUUUGCUCUGGGUUAGUUAAGAACUUUGCUCAAGGGAGUAUUGGUGAUUCUGCUUUGCCACCAAUUUUAGUGGGUACACUGUGUUCUUGUAAUGCCAAUGGACUCAUGGAGCGUAGGUAUAGUUUUGGAGAUGUCUGUAGUGCUUUAGAAAUCAUUAAAGGUGACAAUAUUGGCAAGGGACCUUCUGAUUGUGCAUUUGGUGUGGUUUCUGCUACAGGGUGUACUUCGACCCUGUCCAGUGAUUGUUAAUUUCAGGAGGAAUUUUGAGAACCCAAGUUUUGGGUUCGGGUGUCGCUUGUGGAAGCUGGGGGGGUAAUGUGUUAUCGUGGAGAGUUUUGGUUACUGUGUUGAAGAAAUUGGUUAUUCUGAUGCAAAUGGAUUAUUUCUCAAGGUGGAGAAAUUUUGGAGUUUCGUUCGUUGCACCCGAAUUUGAGUCAAGGUGGAGAUUGUUAGAGUUGGUGAUUCAAAUUGGAAAGGAAAUCUUGAAGAUGCGUGAUGGAUUUGGAGAAUCAAAUAGUAUCCGAAAAAUAAGGAAACAAAGUCCUUGUCUUGUUUUUUUCCCGUUGAACCUAUAAUUUUUUCCUUUUUAGGACUCUUUUAGAGCUAGACUCUUGUGGUAUAAAUAUGAGUCUCCUCUUUCAGUAUUGUUGAAGCAUCAUUGCUGUCCAGUUGUAAUUCUCUCCAUAUUAAUAAAAUUCAUCGUUCCUCUGCUUAAUUCAUCUUUUACUUUAAUCUUGUUCGUGGUAUUUUGCGAUCCUGUAUUAUACUUCAAAUUGGUGUCCAUUAAAUCUCAAUUCUUGCGUUUCGUUUCCACCCGGUCCCAACAAAUAUUUGCAACAACUUCACUACGUGAAGGUUGAAGUCCAAAAGCACCUUCGUCUAUGCAUAAAGUUUGUGAUGUCUAUAUGGUAGAUUGUAAAACUAUCACUCAUUUUGGAAAUUGUAGAGAAUUGUUGGAAUAAUUUCCAAAAAAAAUGUCUUUUAGACAUUGGUAGUUUAAAUCAAGGAAAUACUUCAAGAAGCGUUGGAUCAAGAUAGGACAAGAACAAGAGAUGACCAAACGGACCAAAACUUGCACUAGUUUGCAACAUAAAUUGGCGCAAGUACGCCCAAGGCUAGUGCACCUGCGCUAGUUGAGUAAUUGAAGCGCAGGUACUCUGCCUUGUUGAUGCAAGUGACCUGUUGGCUAGUGCACCCGCGCUGCCAAGCGACAACAAUGGUGUCUUUUCGUUCCUAACUGAUGUUUGAUAGUUAGAAUUCAAUUUUUUUUUUCAGUUUGUAUUGAUGUAGUUCAAACUCUAAUAAUUAUCUUGAAGUGUUGUAACUCUUGGGAAGAUGUGUAAUAUAAUUUUAAUUCGUUUUUACUCUACCAUUUUCUACACUUUCUUGCAUCCAAAAUACCAACUUUAGUGCAUUCUUAUCUUCUUGAGUAUUGUUUGUAUUUAUCAUACUGCAGAUAUAAAGUGGAAAUUUUGAGUGGACUUUCCACUGUUCGUGUUGUCUUCGUGAGAAAUCCCAAACAACACUAAAGGGCUUCAUUAUAUCCUAUAGACGUAUUUUCAUUCCAUGUGCAUCAUAGAUUGGUGGAAACAAAUAACAUCUUAAGGAAAGAGAUAUUUGUUUUAUGCCUUGAAGCCGGUAUUGUUUUAAGUUCGAGUUUUUGCGAUAUUCCAACAUCUAGUUUCGUCUAAUCGUCAUCUCUAAACUGGUCUCACCUACACCUUCGAACCUCGUUUCUGUAAUCUACCUAUAUAUAUUGUCAAUUUGUUAAAAUUUGGAUGAUCGAAAAGGUCUUAC